Molecule: long non-coding RNA, 44185 nt
Filed under: Homo sapiens (human)
Lineage: Eukaryota; Metazoa; Chordata; Mammalia; Primates; Hominidae
Description: non-protein coding LINC01914:17
Rfam family: mir-544 microRNA precursor family (bases 16441-16545)
Source: RNAcentral
AGAGACCCUAACUGGCUUAGGUUUUUAAGAAAGGAUAAAGGCUGAACAGAUCUCUGCAGUUACAAUUAUUCAUACUAGAAGAUACUGCUAACCUCUUUGUUAUUUGAGCAGCUGGAUGAGAUUCCUGAUUUCCAUAAUCUGUACCUGGAGGUUUAUACAGGAGAGGAUCACUGGGGCAGACUUGAACCAUGGUGCCCACAAGUGGGGAGGGUGCUCCAGCGGCCAUGGAAAGAACUUCCUUCUGCAGUUGGAGACAGCCUUCUGUGUGGGCUGAAGGACAGAGUGUGAUUUUCUACUUGGAAGAGACUCCAGGGCUCUGCAGAGAGGGAAGCCCUGCUGACCCAUUUCAGCAGACUGUGACACUUCAGCGACCUGCAAAUUCUACACAUUAGAGUUCAUAUUUUAUACAAACUCCGUACACCUAAGAUGUGGACUUAACAUUUCUACCAACAACAUCCAACUUCCAACAAAAGAUGCAGGCCCAUCAGAAGAUGAAAGCUACUAAUGAAGAUGCAUUAAAGAUGAUAUUUAUGGCCACCCCUUAGGGAAAAAAAGAUUCAUAAAUAAUUUCAUGGAAAUUACACCCAAAAUAGAGUCAUAAUUUCCUCAAUUUCACGUUUUCCUUUUGGUUCUCUGCAGGCCACUUCUUGUUUCAUGCGUCACCACAACUCCAUUUUAAAGGGGUGAGGUAGGAGAGGGGAGAGGUUGUAUGUUAACUGGCCUGGGAACGGCUAAGUAAUGAAAACGGCUCGGCACCUGUGAUUGAUAGUGUUCUGUCAAAGCACGGAACUUCUCUUCUUUGCUUGUGACUGACUGGCAGGUGACGUGUACUUCUCUGUGGCCCACGGCUCCUCUGGCAGAGGUGGCCUUACGUGGCUCCUCUGGCAGAGGCAGCCUUAGAGAAGGCCACUUGAGCAGGGGGAACAGUUGGUAAUCAGAGGUAAAGUUGAGGAAGGCCAAGUGGGCAGGCCUGAUCAGAAACGCUUUCAGGGUAUUGUGGCAAUCAUCUCUCUUCUGCAGCCGAGCUGGGAAUUAGAGUCUUUCUUCAGCCGGGAGUGGGAGAAAGGGAAUUUUUACUAGAGGGCAUGGCCUUCUGAGGCAGGGGAAGAAAGCAUCUUCUGCCAGCUGGGGCAGGGAACGGAGGUGAGUCAGAAAGGCUUGUGGAGAGUGGUAUUCCCCACUGGGGGUCACAGGGCCACUUGUGAAAUGACGCCUAGAUGUUGGUCUACAGCCAAGGUUCUCAACCUUGGCUGCGUAUCAGAAUCACCUGGGGAGCUCUUACAAUCCUGAUGUCCAGGCCCCACCUCAGCCAGAUUACAUCAGAAUCUCUGGGGUGGGACCCAGGCUGAGGUAGUUGUUAAGGCUCCCCGGGUAAUUCCACUGUCUAUCCCGUCUUGAGACCCAUUGAUCUAGGACCUUACUAAUCAAAGCGUUGUAUGAAGACCAGCAGCAUCGUAUCACCUGGGACUUGUGAGAAUUGUUAGACACGUAGAAUCUCAGGCCCCACCCCAGCAUCUCCAGUUUAAAAAUCCCCAGGAGAUUUGGACUCUAUUAAAGUGUGCGUAGCUGGGGUUUUCAAACUUGACUGCACAUUAAAAUCAUCUGGAGAGCUUUUAAAAAUCCCAAUGCUCAGGCCACACCUCAUACCAAUUAAAUCCGAAUUUCUGAGGGUGGGAGACAAGCAGCUUUUUAAUAGGUUUUCAGGUGAUUCCAACGUGCAUGAGUUCUCAGCCGUGGAUACAUAUUAGAAUCACCUGGGGAGCUUUUAAAUCUCCCAAUGCCCAAACCCUACUCUCAGAAAUUCUGAUUUAAUUGGUCUAGGAUAGGCGGCAAAACGAUUCCUAGGUGAUUGUAAUAUGCAGCCAGUGGAGCCUCCCUUCCAGAAUGUUGGUUCAGCUUCACUGAAGGUACAACCAGCUUAAAAACCCUCACUGCAAGUCAGUGGAUCCAGUAACAGUUGGAGAAAAAGAAUGAGCAGGCCAUGGCUAGACUUAGUUUCCAGGGCUUUGAUAUUUGAUCUCCUUACAUGUGAUAACUACGAUUCUUUUUUUUUUUUUUUAUGAAUUCAGAUAUUUAUAUGCUCCUCUAGUUUUCUAAUAAAGUUCCUUUUGAAAAAUUCAACCUCAAUGCAGCUGAGUUAAGAGAUAAAAGCACUGGCCUACACCUGGGGCCACAGGAUCUCUGAGCAGCUAAGGGGUCAGGUGGGAUGGAGGCAAGAGAGGUUAUGGUGGAGAAUUUGGGUGCACCGGGACCCAGAGAAAGACCCCGAGGGAUAAGCAAAAGGUGAGCUGAUUGCAAUUUUCUUGUUCUAUUUACUCUGUGAUACUGUCAUCAUUUCUAACAUGACUGUGGAGUCGAGUAGUUAUAGAAUUGCUGGAUUUAGCAAAUAAAAACCCAUAGCACCCAGUUACAUUCAAAUUUCAGGUAAAUAAUUUUUAGCAUAAGUAUGACUCAUGUAAUAUUUGAGACGUACUUAUUCUAGAAAAAUUAUUUGUUUAUCUGAAAUUCAGUUUUAUCCUGGUAUCCUGUAUUUUAUCUGACAACCCUCUUCCAUACACAACCCUAAAUUCUCAGUGUUAAAAAAUCUGCCCUGUGAGUGGGGCUUUCUCCAGGCCUUGAGCUGGCUCUUGCCGUCUUGGGGUGAUGUUAUGUCUAUGGGUGAUUGUUAGAGUCCUGUUCCCAGGUAGAACAGGGAACAGGAUUCUAACAGGAUUUUUUUUUUUUUGAAACGGAGUCUCGCUCUGUCGCCCAGGCUGGAGUGUACUGUUGUGAUCUUGGCUCACUGCAACUUCUGCCUCCUGAGUUCAAGUGAUUCUCUUGCCUAAGCCUCCCGAGUAGCUAGGAUUACAGGUGCCUGCCACCACGCCUGACUAAUUUUUUGUAUUUUUAGUAGAGACGGGGUUUUGCCAUGUUGGCCAGGCUGGUCUUGAACUCCUGACCUCAGGUGAUCUGCCUGCCUUGGCUUCCCAAAGUGCUGGGAUUACAGGUGUGAGCCACCGUGCCCUGCUGAGAACAGGAUUCUAAUAGCUACCCAUGGACUUCACCUGUGUUCUACAGGUGUUGCUCAGGGUCCCCAAACUAGCCCCAGUGUGUGUGCACGUGUGUGACUCCGUGCCUAUGGACAAUGUCCUUGAACUUCACUCUGCCGGGCUCACCUGCAGUCCUUGGUGAUGAGGUGGUUUCUGGGAGUUCCUCUAGAAUACCCUCCUCUCCUGUUGUUGCUUGCCGAGUUUAGGCUGUAUAUGUCCAAGAGAAAGGAGGCUGGCACUACCCUGGGAUGCCGGGGAAUUUAGGCUGUAUAUGCCCAAGAGAAAGGAGGCUGGGCACUACCCUGGGAUGGGUAGUUUUUUCAGAGAAGAUGAAUCAUCUGCAUACUUUCUUCAGAGGGAAUUGGGCUGGAGGCAACGUGUUGAGCUGCUGGUGAAUCAGACAAAUGUAGAGAAAAGGCGGUGGAAAGGAAAGCACGGUUCACAAGUUGCAACCAUUGCAUCUCCCUGAAGCGGCUGUUCAGUGUCUGAGCCCGGCUUUCAGCAGAGGCUGCUCCAUUGAAAUACAUUCAGAGUCAAAAGUGCAGUUUCCCGUUCUGUUCAACUCAGAACAGCUCAUUCCCUGCUGGCUUGUGAAAGGAAAAUAUCUUGGGCCCCCAGAAUCACUGAGGAAAACUCAAGCUGGAAACUGCUUAGGGCAAACCUGCCUCCCAUUCUAUUCAAAGUCACUCCUCUGCUCACUGAGAUAGAUGCAUAUCUGAUUUGCCUACUUUGGAAAGGCUAAUCAGAAACUCAAAAGAAUGUAACCAUUUGUGUAUCACCUAUCUGUGACCUGGAAGAGUCUUCCAGCCUUUGCUUCUAGUUGUCCCGCCUUUCCAGACCAAACCAAUGUACUUCUUACAUAUGUCGAUUGCUGUCUCAUGCCUCCCUAAAAUGUAUAAAACCCGGCUGUGCCCUGAUCACCUUGGGCACAUGUCGUCAGGACUUCUGAGGCUGUGUCACAGGCGCGUCCUCAACCUUGGCAAAAUAAACUUUCUAAAUUAACUGAGACCUGUCUCAGAUUUUCUGGGUUCACAGGCUUCAGAGUGUGAAGGGGCUUGGAGAAAGGGAGGCAGAGAGUGGGGAAGAGCCAGCUGCCAGCAAGAGAUGCACAGCUGCAGCCAGAGAGAAGUGCAAGAUGAGAGAAGGAGGGAGGGAGAGGUCACCACUGCUGGUUACUUAGCUGGGGAUGUGCAGCCAGACGCAGGAUGAUCAGGAAGGGUACCCUUGGCUUGUCCCUCCAGCCUAUCCUUCUAAAGGUCUAAGCUGGUGCUUGUGUGUCCUGAAGCAGUAUCCGAACCAAUUAGCCUUAAGAAAAGCUCAGGAGGGCACGUGAAGGCUGGAAAAUGGGCUGGGCCAGGUUCUGGAGCCAUGGCCAAUUUUCUCUGGAUGUUCUAGAGGGUGAGUGACCCCUUCGUGAGGCUCCUCUGCUGGUCAGGCCCCGCAGGCAUGGUGAGGCUUGGGAGAGCUGGCAGGCCUCCCAGGGGAGCUCUCACUUAGAAUAUCUACUGUUGGAAGUCCUCCCCACUUCCCUCCUGACACUACCGUCUUCCCAGAAUAAUACAGUGCUGCCGUUUAAAUGAAGGUCACAGACUUGGUUUUUGUGUUCCUUCUGGGAUUCUAGCUCGGGAAAUCCAGGCUCUUCUGUCUCCUUCUCUGUUUUCUGUCUUCCCGUGCCUCCUUCCUGAUGGUCUUUCCAGAACAUCUUCUCCCACAGGCAGCCUAGAUGUGGUGUGGGAGGGCUCUCCAGAGAACGUCGGUAUCUGGUGGUUAAUUAAAAUGAUAAAUGGGCCUUUUGCCUCUCUGGCCACUUCAUUUAGGUCAGGAACAGUGAGAGGCUCUGUGGAAGAUUGGGAGAGAAGCCAGGUGAAGGCAGGGACAGCUCCAGGACAGGACAGGCCUCCUCGACUCUUAUUUGCAGGGUCCCCUAGUCCAAGAGGGUUGGUUCUCAUGCAGAUUUUGCUUAGGGCUGGGGCAUCUGAGUGAGAGAUGGGUCUCCAGGUGAGGCAUCCUGACUGGUAAUGGGUCUGGGCCUUGCUGACUCUUUGGGGUUUAGCUUGUAGGUUCUCAGCCAGGGCCCAGACCUCCAUGCCUUUUCUCCAGGACCACAAUGCUCUUUUCCAGAAGGCUGGGCGGCCUCACUGGUGAAAAAGAGCUGACUUGGGCCUCCAGGCCAGCAGUUCACUCUGGAACCUAAUCCAGAGUCACAGCCUAUUGGCAAAGUCAAUGUGCUGUGGACUGUCAUACAGACAAUGUGUUAGGCCCUGUGAGUCAUGGAAGAUGGGCUUGGGUGACCCCUGGGGUCAGGCUCACUUCCUUAUCCCAGCUCUAGGAAAGAACAGCUUGUCCUGUGGGAUUCCUCCAGGCCGGCACAUAUACCGCAGUUGGGGCUGGGCUGGCAUGAGCCCCUUUGGCCAGAUCUUGGCUGGCUCUCAUAUGUUUACCUCUAACCAGGCCCAAGCUUGGCCUGAGGGCCCUGAGUCUCUGCCUGGUGGAGACAUUCAUGUGGACAGAGCCAGCACCCAGGAGAGACUGAUAGGUGAAUCCUGACAGGAUUGUGAUGUAUGCAUUACUUCCCGUGAAGCUGAGGGGUCUGAAUACCCAACUAGUGUGUGUUUAGGGGGUCGAGAAGUGGGAGCUCAGAGCUGGGGGUGUGGCUGGAAUGACUGGGAAAGGAGAGAGGGUCCAGUUCUCGUUAAGUCCCUGCUCUUCAUCAUCAUUUCCUGGCUCCUUUCCUCUUACCUGGCAUUUCUCAAGUUCUGGGGCAAGGUCUAAAUUGGGCACUUGGAUGAGACUUUCCCAGGGAGCUGCCAGCCUUCCAGGUCCAGGGUGGUCACAGGACCCGCUGGCUCCACAUCUCCUCCUCUCAGUUUGGCCCUCGCCCUAAUCCCUGCUGGUGUCUGAUGCCAGUAACUUGCUGCCUGCUGAAGUCCUUUCUCAUUGUGCCAGUUCCAGGCGCUAUCUGGAGCUGCCGAGGUGGAUCUGCGUGUGUGUGUGUGUGUGUGUGUGUGUGUGUGUGUGUGUGUGUGUGUGUCUCUACAUGUCCUCCUUGGACAUUUUACUAAAUGUUUAUUGGCCCCAAGUGAGGCACAAAUUCCACAGUCAUUUCCAAACCUGAACUUAGUGGUUGGAGAAAGUGCUGAGCACAGUUUAUUAAAUGUGUGCCAUCCUCUCCACCGUUCAGAGCCUAGUGUGUGCUGCCUUUCCUUUGAGAAGUCUUCUCUUGGGACCUCAGCCCUGUUGUCCCCUGCCCUCUCUAGGCUCCUGUGGUCCAGAGAGUGUGCUUGCACAACCCGGCUUGAGCUGUUGUCCCUUUGUGUCAUUUUUGAACAGUGAUAUGGUUUGGCUGUGUCCCCACCCAAAUCUCAUCUUGAAUUGUAGCUCCCAUUAUCCCCACAUGUUAUGGGAGGGACCCAGUGGGAGGUAAUUAAAUAAUGGGGGUGGUUACCCCCAUGCUGUUCUCAGGAUAAUGAGUUCUCACGAGAUCUGAUGGUUUUAUAAGGGGCUUUUCCCCCUUUGCUUUGGCACUUCUCCUUCCUGCCGCCAUGUGAAGGAGGACAUGUUUGCUUCCUCUUCUGCCAUGUUUGUAAGUUUCCUGAGGCCUCCCAGCCCAGUGGAACUGUGACUCAAUUAGACUUCUUCCUUUAUAAAUUACCCAGUCUUGGGCAGUUCUUUAUAACAGGAUGAGAACAGACUAAUACAGUUAGUCUCUUACCUUCCAGAGUGCAAGAACCAAGUCUUGUGAGUUGGCCUGACCCAGGUUCAAACUGUGCUUCUCACUUACAAGCUGAUGACUUUGAGCUAGUUAAUUUUUUUGAGACUCAGUUUCCUCAUCUGUACAAGGGGGAUAAUAAUGCUUUCCUCUCCAGAUCAUUGUGAGGAUUUACGAGCUUAUGCAAACUAAGCCCCUGGCACAGUGCCUAGCGUAGGGCAGGCACUUAAUAAAUCUGAGUUCCUGUUCUCUGCUCUUGUCUCCUCAUGGUUGUUGGAACAGGGCUGGGCUUGUGGUCGGCACCCAGAAAAGUAGUGGUGACUGAUUAAUGAUUAUGGAGCCUGCAAUUAUUGGGAUGAAGUCCCUAAACAGGGAAACAGCUCUAAGCAAACCCAUUAAUUAGGGGCCUGUUUGCAGUUCUUUUGUGCUGGCUUGUCAUGUGUUAGUUCAAGGAGGGCUUUGUACCCUCAGCCUCUAUCCACCCAGAGGUCAUUCUGGGAAAAUAAUGACCAAGGAGAGGCUCAGGCCUGAGGUGUGCAAUUGCCACCUACUUGUGACCUUCAUGCCCAUCCUCCCCUCCCCACUCUACUACUGGUGCAAUAAACAAGUUAACAGGUGACAAAAACAGCCCUCAUAAAGAAGGCCACUGGCUUUAGGAUAGCAUUAAGCCUGAGCUAAUGGACUUUUUGCUAGGAACCAGGGACUUCCUGAGGCAUAGGAGGACUCCUGACUUGGAGCGACCUCUCAGGCCAGGAGAGGCCAACCCAGGCUAGCUACUUUUUAUUUUUUACUUCCAAGUAUAUUUAAAAAAAGAAGAAUUGCCAAAAUAGAGUGUUACAUUACAAAAUUGUGUUAUAACUUACAUGUUUAUAUUUAUCAAGUUAACAAGUUUAAACCUCAAAUGCAAUAUGAAUGUUACUUCACAAUAAUUUCAAGGCUUUAAAAAAUAUUGUUGUGUACUGCAAGCAGGUGGUAAGAUAAACUAAUGGGAUAUAAGUCUAAAGGACCCUUCUGUCCUGGGUUACCCCUCACCCCACUCUAUGGGGGACGGUCCCACGGGGCAGCUUACAGCCCAGGGCUCUGGCCUCUGCCGGCCUCAGUGGUCGGUGGUCAUCUCAGAGUUGGGUGGGGGCCCUGGUGACAGAGACCUGGAGAUGAUUCAUCUCAUGGGGAAAUUUAGACCCAUUCACAAGCCAUAAUAUGCCUGUAAACAAGAGGUGGGUCUGGCUUUCUUCAGACGUUGUAUGGCUCUUGGCUGGUGAGCAUUUAUGCUGAGCCCAGCUCCAGUGGCCUGCAUGCAGUGGGUGCUGAGUAAAUACUCAAGUCACCAGCUGCAAGCACAGUCUGCAGUUCUUAUUCACUUAUUUGAUGACUACUGCUUUCCCUAUUAGAUGGAAUUAUGCCUGACUUUUCCCUUCUGUAUCCUAAGCAUAUAAUAAGUGUUCCAUGUAUAUAUUGAAAGAAAUGAAAUCAAAUUUUCUCUAAGAAGCACCCUGAAUCAGCCCUUUUCUCCUGGGCUUCUCUUCUCCAUUUCAGAGCAUAACAUUGUGUUGUGAUUAUAUUUAUUCCCUUGACUUUGUCCUGCACAGGCUCUGAGCAUCUAUUUGGUAUCCCAAGUACCCAGCAUAGUGACUUGCACAAAGCAGGCAUUGAUCAAAAUAUCUGCAACUUAACUGAAUGAGUGUGAGUUUGGCAUGUCCAGGCCAAUGGAGACAGCCUCCCUUCUAACCCCAGGCCCAGCAUGCUUGGAAGCUGUGUUUCUUGAUGAGUAUUUUCCUGUUUUCUAAAUCUCUGUCCCUAGAAGCCCAUGUUCUCCUCUUCCAGUGUUGGGGCACAUCUGGUUAUUGGUACACGUUGCUUAGUUAGAAACUCUUAAAACAGCAUGAAAUUGUUAGCACGUUGCUCAGGCCUGCCAAGCUGUUCUUGAGACUUGAGCUUUGGUAGGUUUGGUUUUCUGUUUGUUUUCUGUUUUCAUGCAGUUUAGAAAAUUGGUCUGUGACAACCUUGGAGGAAAUAAGCCUGCCUUGAACUCCACCAAGGGGGAGCAAGCCUGAGAUGGCGGGUGGCGGAGAAGGGAGAUAAGCUCGGCGGGGAGAGGCUCUGAGAUUCCCUGCCUGCAUUCCUUUCCUUGUAUUCUGGAUUGGUCUCUCAGGCUAAUUUGAUGUGUGGGGAGAAGGGGUGCCCAAAGGAGGAGGGGUGGAACUGGGGAGAGGCUUGUCUCUGCGUGGCUCCUCUCAGGAAGACCGGCAAGACCAGUACAGCACCUUUCGGUUCUAGAGGACAGAGACAUGCUCUCUCCAAAUAAAUGUCUGGGGAUGGAGACUGUGAAGGAAGAUGUCCCUUCCUCAUGCAUAUGAUUCCUCUGUUAUCUUUUGGGUAUGGGCAGUGUCAGAAGUGUCCCAUGUGGCUCCAACACACCAUCUCUUCUCCCUACUUUUGGCAGCACUUGUCUCUUGGCAGAUUUUUCUUUCUGGAAAUAAUUUCAUAUGGGGAAAAGGCUGGGCUGACCUAUUUCACUUUGGGUGGUAGUUGCUAUCCUUGAGGGUAGGCAGAGCCAGCUACCGCUGCUUCUGGAUGGUGAGACCGGGCAUGAGGAAGGGUGGGUUGAAGAGGUCUCUAGAACCCCCAGGCAGAACUUGGUUUGACUCCUGGCAGUGGAGAUGGGACUCAGGAAUUGUUCUUUGGUCGAAAUGUCAAUAGCAGCAUCACCUCUAACCCUUCCCCAGGCACCAUGCCUUGUCUUUGGUGCUGUCUGUUCCAUCUUUGAUGGCUAUUUAAAAAUCUUUUCUUUCACCCUUUUCCACAAAAGCACUGCCUCCAUUUCAGCCUUGAAUUUCUCCUCAGAGAGCGGUUCUCAGCUGUGCUGCUGGGUUCUGUGUCUUUAUGAGUGAGUCUGAGAUUUCUACCUUGCCCCCCAACCCCCUGCAUCUAAUGAAUCUCAAAGCACACCCUUGAGAACCCCAAGGAUGGGCAUUCUGCCUCCUUAUCGCCCCGGGGCACUGAGGUAAUUGCAUCAGUAGGCGUGUCAAUUCUCUAAGGGAACCCUUGUUUAUUUGGUAUCUACAAUGUGCCAGACACUGAGCACAUGACUUAGAUGGAAUGACUUGCUGAAAUCAUGGAGGCAGUAAGUGAUAUCCACAUGCAUGUCUGUCUGAUAGCCAAGCACCUUCUCAUUCCUCGUACCAGGGGUUCAUGAACUCAGAGGAUUAGAGUGCUUUGAUUCUCAGUCUUUGUCAUCUUGCCUGCAGCCCAGUACUUCUAGGCUCGCUUUCUUGGUGGUUCAUACCCCAACUCUAAGCCUGUAAGAAUAAUCGGCGUCAAGGUAAAGUUCCCUUUGUCACCAGCCCUUGGUAUUAGUUCGCUAUAUUAAAAUAGGUCUUUAAUUUAAAAAGCAGAGGAGGGAGAGAACUAAACAUUGAAAGAGUUUAUACAUUUCUAAUUGUGAAUGUUUGGCAAGGCUUAAAGGCAUAUGAUGGCUCCCAUUUCAACACAGACACUUCUCAGGAAUUCCUGCCAACGUUGUUCCCCAUCAGUCCUUAGUCCCUUCUCUGCCUCCUUCUCACCUGGAAACGGUUUGAGGCAAGUGUACCUCUCAUACACGUAAUCUAGAUUGGGAUUCUUAACUUGGGAUUUAUGGAUGGGUUUCUGGAGCCUGUGAAUUUCUAGAAAUUGAAAAAUGUAGUUGGAUUGUUGUGUGUGCUUUUUUCUGGGGAAUGGGUUAACAGAUUUUAUCACAUUCACAAAGAAGCUGGUGACUCGAAAGCACUAGAGGUGAACAUGGAACUUCCAUGUGAGAAACUUCCUUUAGAGGUAAGUGCUAGGAUAAGUUUUGCCUCCUCUAAAGGGACCAGUGUGCUUUUUACUUCUUCUAAUGUUGUUCUAAUGAUACCAUUAGAACAUUUCUUUUUUUUUUCCCAUUUUCAUUUUAUUGGAAUUAUUUCUACCUGAAUCAACUCAGCUUUGUGUAAAUGUUAUAGGAAGAGAAGAUUCAUUGAGCAGUUACGUUUUAUUACAGAAAAAAAAAAAGAAUUGACUUUCAUACCAAUUAUCGUAUUGGCCAUAGGACAUUUUGUAGGGGGCUAUGAUGUAGAAUGACAGAAGGAAAGACGAAACCUGAAGGGCAUCUUUACUAGGUGUGAGCUCGAAUGUCUUUCUGGGACAAAUGUCCGUGAGGUCAAGUGAUGAGGUCCAAACAACCUGCUUCACUGUCUCUGGCAGGAAAAGAUCUUGGGGCAGGAGGAAGCAAGCCCCUUAUAGAGUAAAAAGAAGUUGCCAUCAUUUUGUGGGCUGUUGUGCUGUCACAGGAUAUAGUUAAUAGGAAAAUGCAGACAUCAGUGAAUUAGAAAACCCACUUCAGCAGUCCCCCUCUUCUCAUGGCCCAAGUGAGGAUCAAAUGUGACUCAUCGUGAAGUGAUCCUUGUCUAUCAAGUCCUACAGGCUUCCCUCCAUCACUGAGUGACUCAGGACAUGAGCUCUCAUUGCCAUGCAGAGUGGCUCUUGGCUUGGGUGGCAGGGGCCCUGGGAGCAGUUCCCUAGCUCUGGAAACAUCUGUGCCACUUGACCUCAUGGGCCCCUGUAUUUAUUUGAAUAACUACUGGAGGAUAAUGUUGAUUAAAAAAAAAAAAAGAUGAUGUGGUAUACUGGAAAGAACAUCGGAUUUGGGGUCAGUCAACCGUGGUUCAAAUCCCAAAGUCUUCCCACCUUUAGUAAAAGACAUAUUUAACACUUGGGGGUAGCUGGGCAUGGUGGCACAAGCCUGUAGUCCCAGCUACUCAGGAAGCUGAGGUGGGAGAAUUCCUUGGGCCCAAGAGUUCGAGGCCAGCCUGGGCAACCCAGUGAGACUUCAUCUGUUAAAAAAAGACAAAAACAAAAAACACUGUGGGAGAGGGAGGAGAUGUUUGCUGGGCCCCUGAGUUAGGUCCAUUUCCUCUCUGUUUCCCAUCCCUUCUAGAAACUUGUUUAUUUUCCCUUGUUGCAUCUGUGGCAAGAUAUAGGUCUCGUGGAAAGGGGACAGUGAGAUCAUUGGCCUGUUUUGUCCUAAUCUAGGCCUGAGGCCUGUCUGUCCUGGGUUCAUACUUGGUCGAGCCCAGCUCACCGAGAUAAGAGUGUGGGGACAAAGGCCCAGCUAGAAUAAAGUUUUUCUUUGCCUAGCACUGGUGGUUUUUAGGGAACCUCCUUAGAAGACAGGUAAUGUUUGAUCACUUGUCUUUUUCUCUAUCUUGCUAAUGCAGUUGUGAUGGCUGGUACUCUAGCAUCCAUCUUAGAACAGGAGGAUGAGGUACAUACAUUAGACAGAGUGAUAAGCUGGAUCCAGAGGAUUGAGAAACUGCCAAAUAGCCCUAGAUCAUCAGCUUCUAGCAUUAUUUUAAUUCAGAAAGAAAGAAACUUCUGUCUUAUUUAAGUCACUGUUAGGUUUUUCUGUCACAUGGGAUCCAACCCUAAUUAAUCUGGUGGUCACACUUUUGGGUUCUAAAGUCAAAUUACGUAGGUUGCAGUUUCAACUCUGUCAUUCUAUGGGCUUCAAUUUGGGAAAAUUUCAUAACCCCUAUAAAUCUCCAGUUUUUUUUUUCUGUGAAAUGGGGGUUAUCAUUGUGUUUAUAGGCAUGGUAUAAUGAAUGGUACAUGUUCAGCGCUCACUAAAUAUUUACUGUUAUGUUGUUGUUACUGUUAUUGUUGUCAUCAUCCUGGGGCAUUUUAUAACCUUGGAGAACUUUUUGGGGGUAGCUAUAAGGAGGGUAGGAGUCAUGUGUUUAGGAUCCUGGGGGUCUAUCCCUCAAUCUUUUUCCAUAAGAGAAACAACUCAUACGUUCAGAGAAGGCACUUUCUCUCCCUUCCACAUCUAAAGUGCAGCUAAUGAUAUUUGUGCCUUGUUGGGAAAAUUAAAUGAGAAAAUAUAUGCGAAGCAGCCCAUACAAUGCACAAAGCAUACAUUCCACAAAUGUUAGUUCUUAUCUCUUCAUCUUUUGAUACUUCUUUUCACAUUGUGGAGAUAAAUGUGGGGACCCCCUUGCCUUGCAUUUUACACUGUACUCCUAGGCUGGGUAAAUUGCAAGUUAACUCUGGCAGCUUGGUGGCUGCAGGUGAACGCAGCUGGUGAAGGGCCGGUGGCCUUACCCUGGGCAGAGUUGUGCAACCCAACCUUGAAGACUUGGGCCUGCAGGCUCCGUGGCCUUGAGUGGCAGGGGGUGUCUCAGUGACAAGGGUAGAGGGCAGAGGUUUGGGGGGUGGAGGGAAGAUGGGCAAGGUCUAACAGUGGUGUUGGGGGCCUUAGAGGAGAUGGGGUGGGGAUGAGGGCUGUCCUCUGCCCUCUUCAAGAGAUAACUGCCUUUUUCUUGUGUGGCAGGUCCAACUUUGCAAUUUACCAGGUGAGUGGCCACAGGAAAAGUAGUAAUCUCUGUGAAGACAAUAAUACUCAUCUUAAAGAGCUGUUUUUGAGGCUCAUAUCAGACGAGAUACUUUAUAGAAAAGAUGUAUGGCACAUAGCAUAGGCCCCUUUCUCCAACACCAUCCUCCAUCUAUACCAACAAAUCCUUGCCUCUAAUGAGUUUGCCACACUGGCGUGUGCUCUUGGGGGUCCCUGAAUGCCACCUGCAGGUGUCUGAGGCAAGUGCCUUCAAGGAGCCUUGUGAGACUGGAUGGUUUCAUGUAGGGUGAGCACAAGCUGUUGUAGAAAGUUCUAUCCACAUGGUUAGAGCUCUGUAUAAAAGCAACCGGAUGCAAAGACCGAGGCAUGGUAGGCAUGGGGCCUGGGAGUCUUCUAUCAGCAGGCUGCUCUUCAAGCCUGUCCUCUCCCUGUGACAUCUAGAUGCUUCCCACUGGCCAUCGCCCUUCCAGCACAGCAGGGGUGAUGGAGCAGAGGCCAGCUCUCUACUCCCUCCUCCAUCACCUCUUUACCAAACACAAAAUCCUUUUGGAUUGGUAUCCCUUUCCUUUAAAAACUUUUUAAUUGAAAAAGAAAUUUAACUUAUAGAAAGAUAUAGAAAAAACAGUAGUAUCUCACUGCUAGGUAUAAAUAAAUGUUAACAUUUUGCUUUGAUUGUUUGCCUUAGAUUAUGUUUUCCAAUGAAACCACUAUUAAUAAUGCUGAAAUCUUCAUUGAACUGCUUUCCAAGCCUGACUGGAGGCAACCUCUGUCAUGAUUUUGACGUGUGUCCCUUCAGUCCAUGAUUUUUACAUUCACCCUAUGACUAUGUAUCCAUGUCGAGAUUUUAUAUUUCUUCCCUUGACUCUUCCACUGUGGAAGUUAUACAUGGUAUUUCUAUUGUUUUUGUAGUUUCUCUAGCAUUUUUAAUAGCCAUAUUUUUCGAACAAAUUUUAAAUUAAUUGAUAUUUCUAUUCUCUUCCUAAACGAGAUAUAGAAUUUAGAAUGCUUUGACUUUUGCUUCUAUCUUUCGUGUUACCACAGUCUAAUAUUUAGUUCUACCAUGGUUUUACCCACUGUUUAUCAUUAUUUUCUAGAAUCUGUACCUGUUUAGAUUUAACAAAGUAUUUAUACUUUUCUUGGUACACAAUUGCAUCUUGCAUUCCUGUCUCUAUCUUCUUUUUUCUGAAGUAAUCCUUUAGUUGUUAUUUCAGUGAAGAUCUGUGUUUAAUUAACUCUUAAUCUUUUUCUGAAAUUAUCUUUCCUUUGUCUGCGGUCUCAGCUGUGGGCCAGCUGAAGAUAGAACAACAGAUUGACUUCUUCCUUCGCUAGCACUUUUAAGAUAUUAUUCCAUCAUCUUUUAGCAGCUGUUGAUGCCAAUAAAAAGGCUACUUCAAUCUGAUAUUUCUUUGAAGAUAACCUGUCUUUACUCUCUAGUAUCUUUAAAACUAUUAUUAUUUUUUAUUUAUUUUGUUUUGUCUUUUGUUUUAUUUAUUUAUUUUUUUGAGAUAGAGUUUUGCACUUGUUGCCCAGGCUGGAGUGCGGUAACACGAUCUCGACUCACUGCAACCUCCGCCUCCUGGGUUAAAGCAAUUCUCCUGCCUCAGCCUCCCGGGUUAAAGUGAUUCUCCUGCCUCUGUCUCCUGGGUUAAAGUGAUUCUCCUGCCUCAGCCUCUGGAGUAGCUGGGAUUACAGGCAUCCGCCACUACGCCUGGCUAAUUUUUUGUAUUUUUUAGUAGUGAUUGGGUUUCAUCAUGUUGGCUAGGCUGGUCUCGAACUCCUCCUGACCUCAGGUGAUCCACCUGCCUUGGCCUCCCAAAGUGCAAAGAUUACAGGUGUGAGCCACCAUGCCUAGCCUAAAACUAUUAUCUUUUUCCUUGAUGUUUUGUGGUUUCACAUUCAUGUGUCUAAAUGUGUGUUUGUUUUUACUUAUUCCAUAUGCUUUUUCAACUCAAGGCCCAUCAGCUUUUCUCAAAUCUGGAAAAUUCUUAGCCAUCUUCUCUUCAAAUAUUUCCUCUCACCCUUAUUCUCCUUUGUCUCUCUGUAGCACUUAUUGACAGAUACAGGGCUAUUAAAACAUGUUCUUUGCCAGAAGCGGUGGCUCACGCCUGUAAUCCCAGCACUUUGGGAAGCCGAGGCGGGUGGAUAGCCUGAGGUCAGGAGUUCGAGACCAGCCUGGCCAACAUGGUGAAACCCCCGUCUCUACUAAUAAUACAAAAAUUAACUGGGCGUGGUGGCAGGCACCUGUAAUCCCAGCUACUAGAGGCUGUGGCCGGAGAAUCGCUUGAACCCGGGAGGUGGAGGUUGUAGUGAGCUGAGAUCGUGCCACUGCCCUCUAGCCUGGGGGACAAGAGUGAGACUUCAUCUCAAAAAAAAUAGUUCAUGUUUUUCAAUUUCUUUCUCAUUAAAAAAGUCUUUACUAUCUUUUUGCUGUGUUCUAGAUGAUUUUCUCAGAUCUGUUUUUCAAGUCACCAUUUUUCUCCACUUCUGUAUCAUUAGGCUAUUUAAACAGCCUGUUGAGGAUUUAAAAAAAAUUGGAUAAUCAUGUUUUUUAUUUUUACAACUUGAUUUUAGUUCUUUUGCAAACCAGCUUUUAUUAUAAUGUUCCGUGCUUGCAAUAUAGAUUAUGGUCUUCUAAUUUUAGAACAUUUUAGACAUACUGAUUUUAAGUUCCUUUUCAGAAUUCUCAAUUAUUGGCGAUUCCUUAGGAAUGAAUUCUCCCAUUUGUAACAUUUGCUGACAUUAGCAGUAUCAUGUCCUUAUGUGCUUUGUAACUUCUGUCUCAUCCUCAGUGGGAAUUAUCUUAUGUGGAGUCCUGUAUAUUCUCCAGGACAUGAGGCCUCCCUCUGCUGUAGAUUCUGCAUUAUAAAAGUCUCUUUUCUAGACCAUCUUAAAAAAGAGAUGGGAUCUCAUUAUGAUGCCCAGGCUAGCCUCAAACUCCUGGGCUUAAGUGAUCCUCCUGUCUCAGUCUCCCAAGUAGCUGGGACUACAGGUGCAUAUUACUGUACCGUAGACCAAUUUUUCUUUAGAUUUAGGCUGUGGGCUUCUAUUCCUGGUAAAAAGCAUGAGAAUUUGGGUUUUAUACUAGCAUAUGCAAACUAGGUCCUCUAAUUUAUUUCAUUAGCUCUCUUUCUUUUCCCCCCUACCCACACCUUGGGGUGGUCAGCCAGCUUCUCUGCUAUAACUUUGAGUAUGGAAAGAGUUUUUCUAAUGGCAUCAUUCUUUCCAAAAUUUCUGCGUAGAUCCAGUUCUCUGUGAUGAAUAGGAACUGUGGCUUUGACUUGUGUUUCUAUAUGAUAUUAAAGCCCCUCUAAAGCAGUGCUUCUUACACUUCAAUGUGCAUAUGAAUCACCUGGGGAACUUGUUAAAAUGAAGGUUCUGAUUCAUUAAGUCUGGGGUGGGGCCUGAGAUUCUGCCUUUUUAACAAACUCCCAGGAGAUCCCAAUACUGCCGAUGCAGGGACUGUGCUUGGAGUAGCAGAGUCCUCAAGCAUAUCUCUGGCCAGGUACUCCUGGGCUUCCAUUGGCUCUACCUUCCACUCUGUUCUACAUGUUACCUUUGUUUUUGACAACUGAAAGGUUUCCUCUCUUGAGGGUCCCUUCAACCUGAGACUCUGAAUCCUAGAUUCUUUCCAGUUCUAGUAAAACCCCAGUUACCUGGUAUUUUAGGAUGAAGUAUGGCUGUGUGAGAUAGAGAAAAGCCCCAAAUAACAGAGGCUUAAACAAGGUGUCACAUAAAAGUAUUCAUAGUUAGGAACUCUAGGGCUGUGUGGUUUGUCCACAAUUGCCAAGGACCUAGGCUUCUUGCAUUUUGCUGCUCUGUCAUCCAUGGUGAGCUACCUCAUGGUUUAAUGUGACUACAAGAGCUCCAGCCAUCAUAUUCACCUUCCAACCAGCAGAAAGGACAGAUUAAGAAAGGCAAAUCUUAGAGGACACUUGCUGGAAGUUACAAAUACCAGCCCCACUUCAUUUCAUUGCUAAAACUUAGUCACAUGUUCACUCCUGAUUGCAAAAGAGUCUGGGAAAUGCAAUAUUUAUUCUGGGUAGUCAGAUGCUGAAAACUAGGGCUGCUUUUGCUAAGAAAGAGGGGAAUUGGUAAGCAAUAGUCUCUGCCAUAACCAGAAUGCAGUUUUCUAGAAACUUAAGGCAUCUGCCUUAGCCAUGGAUCCAGAAGAGGAUGGGUUGGUGGGAGCAGGAACAGAUAGCCUCUUCAUCUGCACAGUGGCAGCCAUGGAGCUCUAGCAACCAGCAACCAAGAGACACAGAGGCCCACACACACAAAAAAGAUAAAUACUCAGAGAGGACAGUAUGCCCUCUGUAUUAGUCCGUUUUCACACUGCUGUAAAGAACUUUCCUGAGACUGGGUAAUUUAUAAAGGAAAGAGGUUUAAUUGACUCAUAGUUCCACAUGGCUUGGGAGGCCUCAGGAAUCUUACAAUCAUGGCAGAAGGGGAAGCAGACAAUUUCUUCACAAGGUGGCAGGAGAGAGAAGAGCAGGGGAAACUGCCACUUAUAAAACCAUCAGAUCUCGUGAGAACUCACAAGAACAGCAUGGAGAAAACUGCCCCCAUGAUCCAGUCACCUCCCACCAGGUCCCUCCCUUGACAUGUGGGAAUUACAAUUCGAGGUGAGAUUUGGGUGAGGACACAGGGCCAAACCAUGUCACCUCUGAGUAGUUUAUUCCUUGAACAGAAGGAAAGCAGAAUCGUGACUAUAUAGUGAUAACUACAAAACCCUAGUGUUUUUCUUCAAGGUCUUGAGAAAUUUUCCAGAAAUAAACAGGCAAAUUUCUCAAGAGCAGGCAACAAAAGAGAAAAGAGAAUUGGAGAGCCCCAAAGAGUGAGAGCGGUGGAAAGAGGGCUGGCAGCAGACGUUCUGUGAGAUGAGAGCAAAAGCAGUUUGGGUGAGUAGCAAAGCUGCCGAAGACCCGGAUAUUUCUCCUGGGGUAUGUGCCCAGGACAGGGUAGAGGUGAGUGGAGGAGGAUGGGGGUGGGAGCAAGAGAGUAGACCCACCAGUCACAGUGUCACCUUUCAGGACCUCUAAGACCUCAGUACCAGGCUGAAGGGGAACUGGCCAGGACAAGUCAGGGGUCUCAGGGUUGGGGAGAGAAGGCCAAUUUUGGCAUAGAGAUACUUACAUCAGCUUCAAUGGUUAGGGCCCAACACAAAGAUAGUGGUUUGUUGUGAAUAUCCCUAGUCCCCAAGUAAACGUUACACUUAGUAAUAUUACAUAAUGCAUAUUAGCAACUCAGAGAAGUCCUAUAGUAAAUAACCAAACAAUGACUGGUUUUUCCCUAGAGAUUUAAAAUUAUUUUUGAUUAUGGAAUGCCCCUUUCAUGGGGCAUACCUUUUAUCCCAGUGUUCCUCAGAGCACCCUCUAGAAAACCAUGCCACAGACAGGUAAGCCAGUUGCCCAGAAUAAACGCUACUAUUUUUAGUACUAAAUUCAGAUGGAAUUACCCCUGAGGGUACUGAAAACACUGUGAUAGCACUGUGAUGUGGCCCCACAUAUAACGAUGCUUUUCGUGGGACUGUUUCUUGUAAUGACAUUUUAAAAAAUGCUGAUUGCGUCACACCAAAAACAGUUCAGCAACAGUAAUUCUUCUGGGGCCGAUAUGAUGUACUCCAGAUAUCCGUGUUUCCCUUGCUCUGGUGGGAUCCUUGGACGGUGUUAGAAAAUCUGGAAGAACAGAUGAACUGCUUGUCCUUCAAGUGGUCUUCUCUGAAAUAGUGUUAUUUUUAAGCAGGGUUUUUACGUAAAUAUUUAGUAGUGGGGCAUACAACUGUUCUCUCUAGAUGAACUCGAAGGAUGGUGUUCUUUGUUGCCAUUUGAAUACCACAUCAAUCAGUUGUGCCUAUGACAAUCAAGCUGGGGUGAGGUUGAUAUGCCUUUUGGAGCUGAGCCCUCCAUCACUGUCCACCAGCAAGACAAGGAUUCUCUUCUGAAGUUGCUUUGGUCCACUCCAGUGUGUAAAUGAAUGAGCAAAUCAGGCCCCCAAAGUCUACCUCAUUUAACAUGGCUGAAGUAGUGCCCAUGCCUCAGAAUAUUUAAGAUUGGCAUAAUUAGACCCUUGCCACAGCCAAAUACAUUCUUGGCAAAGCACCCAAGAAGGCCUGGCUUUGGGCAGUGCUACUGUCAGGACCCCGUCCAAGACAAACUCCAUGUUAGCGCCAAGUAACUGAAUGAAGUAACUUGUAUUGGGUCAUUAUUUAUAAAUCAGUUAAAAUGUGGAGCCUAUCAGAGAGAACAUAUUUAGUUUUAGGACAGAUCUAUGGGCUUUCCUUCUGAAAAUAAUUGGCUAACAUGGCAAAUUUAUUUUCAGAUCAGUUCUAAUUUAAGAUAAUAAGACGUCAUCUCUCUAUACAAGAAUGUCUGUCUUUUUGCUUUGCAGGGGAGGUCGGGAUUGGCAUCCAGGAUGUCCAAAACAUCAUUAGGAGACAACCUAGAAAGAAAUGAUUCCAGAACACAUCCCUGUAAUAUGUGUCUGGACAUAUUUUAUAGUUAGAAGCCAAAUGCUACUGACAUGAAUGAUCAUUGCUAUUUUUCAGAACUGGUUCUGGCCAGACAUUAAUGGUCCAAGUUCUAAGUAGCGGCCUGAGUCAGGGUUCACUUCAGGUCAACAACUGUUGCACAUCAUCCAAUAUGCUCUUAGAGUUGAGUGUAAUAGUAGUCUGAGGUGGGAUAGCUGCAUCUGAAGCUUGCAUGCUCCUUGACGGGUAAGAAUUUGACACUCUGCUGCAAAAUGGAUUUGAUUUGGUAACAGUGCAAACCCAGGGUGGGGAAAGAACCCUUUAUUAAUGGCCUCCAGCACUUGCGUUCUGUCUUUCAUCAUGGAAGUAAAAACAAUUUUCUAUGUGUGUGUGUAUGUGAGAAAUAGAUCCUCCCUAAAAGCCAAUUCCUGGUGCUAGUGAAAGAAUUAAAGAAGAGAUAUUUUGGAUAAAUUAGAGUGAAAUAUUACUCACAUGUAUGUACAUAUAGCAAUUUAGUAUAUGAUGUGGCAUUGCCAAUAAGUGGAGGAAAGAAUAGGUUAUUCCAUAAAUGAGAUUGGGACUACUGGAAAUUUAGAAAAAAUGGUUGGCUUCCUAUUUUCCCAUAUAUAAAAAUGCAUUCCAGAUGGAAUAAAGUGCUAAAUUUAAAAAACAACUUCAAAAGAUCUGAAGAAAAUAUAGAUGAAUAUUGCAUUAAUCUUGGAAGUAGCAAAGGAAACCACAAAAGAAAUAUUUGUUAUUUUUGACUACAGAAAAAUAAAAACUUCUGUACAAAAAGAAAAAUACCACAAACAAAAUUACAAGGCAAAUGAGUAUCUGGAAGAGAGCAUUUGUAACAUAUAUAACAGACAAAGGAAUAAUAACUACAAAAUGAGUUUCUAGAAAUGGACAGUUAAGACAACCAACCAGAUUAAAACAGCAGACACAGAAUAGCAAUGGGCAAGUCAUAGUAGAAAUAGAUAACUAGUGAUUGGUGAACUGAAAGUUAACAAUGAGAUGUUUUCCUAAUAACAUAUUGGUAAGAAUUUAGGAAGGUUUAAAAUAUCCCAUGAGUUGGGGACAAUUCUUGGUAAAGAGUAAACUGACCCUGCCUCCAGGAUGGCCACGCGGCAGAAGCUAUAAAAAAUGUCAAUGUGCAAAUCAUCUAAAGCUAGGUAUUAACUUAGAAAUGUUGGUUUUAGUGAAGCACUCGUACAGGUGCCCAGGAGGCAUGGGGAAGGAUAUAUUUUGCAAUGUUAUAUGAGAGGAAAUGCAGAAACACCUGAAAUACUCAUCCAUGGGGAUAGAUUUAAAUAGGCAUGGUUUGUCUCUCUGCACUUGAAAGAAUGGGGGAUACCCUGGCAUAGAGAUAUCUGUGAGAUAUAAGAGGAAGUGCAAAGUGCAAGUUGCAGUAGCAUACGCCUGGCAUGACACCAUGUAAUACAGGUCUACAGGCACAGAACUGCAAAGACAAAGGUCUGUAAGAAACAGGUCACAUUAACUGUAUGUGUGUCCUUUCUUGGUAGGGAAGUAUGGUGGUCUGGGGAAGAUAAUGGUCAAUGGGAACUUUCUUCUACCUAGUUCUAUGUUGUUUAACUUAACACACACGCACACAUAUACAAGAAUGGAUUCGUGUAUUGCUUGUAUGUUGUUUAACUUAAAACACACAAGAAUGUGUUCAUGUAUUACUUUUUUUUGAGAUGGGGUCUGGCUCUAUUGCCCAGGCUGCAGUGCGGUGAUGUGAUUACAGUUUACUGCUCCCUUAGCCUCCUGGGCUCAAGUGAUCCUCCCACCUCAGCCUCCUGAGUAGCUGGAACUAUAGGCGCACACCACCACACCUGGCUAAUUUUUUGGUAUUUUUUGUAGAUGUGGGGUUUUGCCAUGCUGCCGAGGCUGGUCUUCAACUCCUGAGCUUGAGCAAUCCUCCCGCCUUGGCCUCCCAAAGUGCUGGGAUUACAAGUGUGAGCCACUGUGUCCGGCCUAUGUAUUACUUACAUAUUUAAAAAACAAAAUCACACACACAUGCAGAAAAUGGAAUGUGGCAUUUUGCAGUGGCUUGGACUUUAGAAGUGAGUGAUUCUGUCAUUGUGCCAUAUAUUCACUUAUUCAUUCAUUUAAUAAAUAUUUUUGAAUGCCUACUAUGUGCCCAGCACAAAAACUAGAGAAAGAAUAGAGAGAAAGAUCUGUAAAAUUAUUUCACUGCAGGCUCUGCUUAGUAAUUGUAUUAGUCACCUGUGGUUGCCAUAAUAAACUAUGAUAGACUGGAUGGCUAACAACAGAAAUCUAUGUUCUCACUGUGUAGGAGGCUGGAAGACUGAGGUCAGGGUGCUGGCCUGGUCUGGUUCUGGUGAGAGUCCUCUCCUGUACUGCAGGUGACCACAUUCUCACUGUGUGCUCACAUGGGAGGGAGGGAGGGAGGGAUCACUUAUAAGGGUACUAAUCCCAUCACAAAAGCCCCACCCCCGUUUAACCCUAAUUACCUCCCAAAGGACCCAUCUCCAAAUACCAUCUCAUUGGGGUUCAACAUAUAAAUUUUGAGGGAACACAAACAUUCAGUCCAUCAUAAUACAUUUCAUGGGAUGUUAAAAAAGAUAGUGGACAGAGACACCAAGGUACAAUAGAUGUGAAAUUACAAAGUUAGAUCACCCCUUGCAGAAUGUACAAAGGAAAGUGAACUCAACACUGCUGUAUCCACCUUGAGAAAAUAAAAUGUUUGAGGCACUGAAAAGGGAGAAUGGAUUAGAAAUGAGAUUUCUCUGCUGAGAGCUGUUACAGAGCUGUGACUCCCUCCCCACGGGGUCUGUGUGUGGUAAAAGACACGAGGCAGACGGGUCAACUCCCUCCUCCCUUCUCACCACAGGCUUCCAGCCUAAAGCAAAGUGCAGCUGUGGGUAGGGAGAAGGGCAUGUUGUUCAAUCAAGUAGGAAAGUUUAAUUAUUGCACAGAAUGGCCAUUCAGGUCACCACAUUGGGACUGUUGUUUUUCACUUCAAGUGGCUUAGCGUGUCAACCACACAAGACUGAACCAAAAAGUUCCAUCUUUCUCUACUGCUGAAUAAAACCCCCUGCAGGAUCUUCUGGACCUGCAGGAGGUUUUAUUCAGCAGUAGAGAAAGACUACCCAUGUGGAAUCAGGUUUAAAGGGAUAAUGGAAGAUGAAAAUAAAAUUGUGCUUUGAUUACAUCAUAAGUCAUGCGUGGUCAAUAUAUCGGUUACAUAUAAUUGCUCAUCAAGGAAGAGGCAAAAGUGUAGAGUCAGGGGAAAAGGGGGAUGGUGUGUGGUGCCAGGCUACACAGUGGACACCUGUGGCUUUUCCUGUAAAUGUGAUCCUUGAGCAAGCCAGGAGUCUGUCCAGGUUUAGCUGUAUUCGUGAAUUUGGAGGUUCACCAAGACCCCCUGAUGUACUCCUUGCAGAUGCCAAAGGUUUACUAUGGUACACUUUGGAAGGUUUUCCAUUAAAAUAUAUCCCAUUAAAAUGAUGUCUUGGCACCUAAAGGAUUAGCUUCCAUUUAUCCAGAAAAUGAAGCCGUCUGGUUGGCAUUUAUUGCUAUAGUGUUUUGAGUUUCUGCUAAAACAUCGUAGUUCCUGGGGAUGCACGUAUGCCUCUCUGAAGGUGUGGAGAGGGAACAUAGAAGACCUGCUUGCAAAGGGGAAAACGUCUCCUGGCAAUUGCCUUCCCUCUUCCUCUUUCAAAAUUCAGUGCAAACAUCACCUUGUGAAGCUGUCUCCAUUUCUAAAGCCAAGUUGAUUACUUCUUUCUAGAUGAACCAUCUAUAUACUUGCUAAAGUAUUUGUAUUGUGUGCUUUGUAUUUAUUUGCCUAUCUGCCUAUUCCACAAGACCUUCAGCUACCUGAAGGUAAGAAAUCCUGUAUUUUAUCAGUUUUAAGAUACUUAUUUUCCCUCCACAUGUUUACAUUUCUGAAAUUACUAUAGCUUUUGAUGGCCUGUCAUCAUAGUUCAAUUGGCAAUAUAUUUCUCAGGGUUCCAUAAUUUUUGUUUUAGUGGUACAUAAAAUAAUGAUAUGUCUCACAAUUGAUGGUGACUUAAAGUCAGAGAAAUGUGGCUUAUCUAAUUCAUCAUCAUAACCACAAACACUACUACCUAACCUAGAAUGUAGUAGGUGCCCAAUAAAUACAUGAAACUAACAGAUUUUGUGGUGGUGGAUUUCAGCAGUAGGGGUCACUGAUCUGGAUAACUGGCAAUGGAGAGCAAUAUGGUAGGCAGUGGACUUCUGGAACUGCAAGCAACUUCCAGAAUGUUGAAGGGGAUGUACCACUUAGGCUAAACCUGGCUGCUGUAAUGACUAGAUCCAAUACUGCAUUAGUGGCUCAAAUGCAAAAGAAGUUUAUUUCCUUUUCGAUGGAAAUUUGAUGGAAAUUUUGCUGUCGUGUCCUUAUCCUGCAGGACCUCUCAUCAUCCUCCCCAUGCAGGCAGAAGGUAAAGAGAGUAUGGAGAAGGCAGGGCCACUUUUAAAGUCUUGGUCUGGAAAUGACUCAUAGAACUUCUGCUCACAUUCCACUGGUGAGCGACAGUCACAGGCCACAUAUAGUUGCAAGGGAGCGUCGGGGGCUGGUAAUGUAAUUCUUAGCUGGGCUUCUCUUUCCUAGUUAGGAGGUGGGAGCAUAUAUUUUGGUGAGCAGUUAUCUCUUUCAACUGCAGGGAACCCCUGGACUGUUGCCUGCAGAUAAAGUUGUCUGCCUUUUAUUGCAAGUUUAACUUUGACUCCAACUGUGUUAGUCAAUCAUUUCUUGGAAAACCAACCCUGACCAGCUUUAGUAAAACCAGAAACAUCCUGGUUAGGUGAAGCUGGACCUAGGACCUCAAAGAAUAUAAUUAAUCCCUCCCCCACUUCCGCUCCUUUUCUCCCUCCCCCUUUCCCUCCCCUUUGUUUUUACUAUGCUAGUUUUAAUCCACGAACAGGAACGCUCCACAAGGUGGGAAAGAGAAAGAUGCCUUACUGGAUGCUUUCAGCCCAUGACCACAGAAGGAAAGGGAAAGCAGUUUCUUGCAGAUCCAUUAAUCUCCCUGAAAAGGGCUCCUUGUGGCCCUAACCAGGUCAUGAGCACUCUUGGGCCGAAGGCUGUGUCAGGGGUGGGGUAGGAUGGUGCUCUGAAUGGAGAGCUUGACGGCACCACCAGAAUUGCCUGGAACCAAUGGGGAAGCGAUGAAGAACAGUCAAAAAAAGUGAGAGCCGUUCCCUGUUCCCAGCCACCACUCAGCUUCAUCUGCCGCCAUUCUCCAUCUCAUGUCCUGCUCCACAGUCACUGAGCUUGAUGCCUUUCCCCAAAUACCCCAGACCCCAUCAUUAUUCCAAGCUGCACCCUCUUUCAGGACCGGCCUCCUCCAUGCGUCUCCCCUGUUCACCCACCAGGACCAGCUCUCAGUCAUUUCCUUAGGAAGAUUUUCUUGACACCCCACCCCUGCCAGCCUAGCUAUCACCAUCAAACAGGAUUUUUACCCAAAGGGACUGAACUUUGAGGCCACAACUGAGGCCCAAACAGAAGUGGGCUCUGUGGUUCUGCCCCACUGGCUGCACCUACAUCUGGGUGUGCAACUGGGCUGGCCUUGGAGCAGCCUGCAGUGUGUUGUGUUGUUGUGUUGUGUUGUGUUGACUGAGUCCCCGGAGGUGUAACAUACCGUCUUGUCCAAAACAAACACUAGUGCCAGGGAAAUCCUCAUCCGUAUCAAACAGGGACUGCAUGGGGGAGAGGUCUGCAAGGAGUUGGCUGCCCACAAAGCUCCAAUUAGCCCCCAAAUUAUCUCCUGAGUCACGUGUGUGAGGAUUUCUAACCAAAAUUUGCUGGAAAAUGGAUUCUCAAUGCUUCUGUCUAUUUACCUAAUACUUAACCCAAGGAUAACAACACACAUACAAGUUUAAAAUAAAACACAUGUUGGGUUUUUUUUUUUUAAAUAAAAAUUUGAAACAGAUGGUCUCUUUUAAGACAAAUAUUUAUUCCCCUGACAUUUUUUCACUUACAUGUUUAUAUUUUUAAAUCUAGGCUUUAUGCAGAGACCUUAGAGAUGUCACGAUAAUAAAAUCCAUGUUGUUCAUAAUUGUCUAUUUCCUAGAAUGCAAUGCUGGAAGCAACCUCAAGAAGCUAUCUCUGGCAUCCCCCUCCUCCAGGCAGGCCAAUGUGCGACCAGCUGAGACCAACUGGUGUUUAUUUUGUUUAUCUUGGAAGCUUUUGAGGAAGGAAGCUGUAAACUCUUUCUUACUGUGCUUACCGGCUCUCCAUUGAGUUUCCGAUCCCUGGGCUGGGUGAAGGGUUCUUGCAGAGGGGAGAGUUCAGAGCAAAGCUGCUUAGGGUGUUUUCUGCCCUGGUGUCUUCUUUGUUAUGCUCUUGUCUAUCCCGGUUCAACAUUGGCAGUGCAGCCCCUCUGACUUUGCCAUCACAUGCUUAUCUUGGGUUCCACUGUACCUGUUCCGAUUCCUUUGUACAUAGCUCUGAUAGGACCAGCUCCUAUCUUGGCCAGAGCUGUGAAUUUUUUUUUUCUCCUAAGGUAGGUGAGUGUCCAAAGGAAGAAUCAAUAGAUGUUAUGAAAUGUUAGAAAAAAAAUGGACAGUUUUCAGAAGUCAUUGACAAAGAGGAGCCAGUCCUUUGCCUGAAAUAUGUGAUUUGAGAGGCGUUUUUUGGGAGAAAUGAAUGGACUUUUCUGCAUUCUUGUAUCAGCUAGCUUUUGCUGUAUAAUAAACUACUCCCAAAAUGUACUGACUUAACAGAAUAUGGUCUUACUAUUCUGGGGAUAGGCUAGGUAGAUUGUCUGGUACAGACUGUCCUGGCUGGGGAUGGACAGUCUAGAGUGGCCUCACACUCACGUCUGGUGGUUUGCUCUAUGUCACCUGGAGCAACGGAGAACACUUGGCCACGUGUUCUCAUUGUUCAGGCUAGCUUGGGCUUGUUCACAGGGCAGUAGUUGCAAGCUUCCCAAGAGUAUCAAAAAAGAGCAAGCCUCAAUGUGCAAGUGCUUUUCAAGUCUCUGUUUAGGUAAUGUUUGCCAUUGUUCCAUCAGCCAAAGAGAGUCACAAGGCCAGCCCCGAGUCAGGGUAGGAGAAUGUAUCAAAAGUCAUGGAUAGAGGGAGGUCAUCUUUGCAAGCUUACUACAUUUCUUCUUGAGGACAGAGAAAGGAGGCAUCCCUUCUUGAGUCCUAUCAAAUCCAGAUGGCCUGAUAACUUUCUCAGAGAAGGAAAAUCUUGCAUUUCCUCAUCCCAAACUUUAUCCCAGCUGAGUAUCAGAUUCAAUAAGGUUUUUCCAUGCCAGUUGUCCCUGCAACCUCCCUGAGGACAAGGACUUGCGUUAUCUCUGACUCUCAGCAUAAUGCUGGGCAACUAGCAAAUGAUCAAGAAAUAGUUUCAAAUGAAUGAAUGAUCAAUGAAUGAAAGCUUGUCUUCCUAAUACAGAAGUCAUUCUAACUUGAUUUGAGUUUACCUUAACCCUCUUUAUUUGCUUAAUAAUUAAAGACAUAUCAAAUAACUGGACUCAAACCAUCCCAGAAGUAGUUUAAAAACAGAUCAGAUCAAGUCCCUCUGUGGUGUAAAUGUCUUCAAAGACUUUGUUAUGUUUAUAAUAAAACCCAGCUCCUUGCUAUGGCUUAGAAAGUCAACAUGAUCUGGUCUUUGUAUUAUCUGCCUUAUCAUUAUUUCUUCUUAUACCCUCUUAGCUACUAAGGUCAGUCAUGAUAGCCUUCUUUCAGUUCUUAGAAUACAUAAAUACGUAUCAUAGGAAAUGGAGGUUUUUCCUUUUUUCACUUGCAGGAGCACUUUCACUUGGAUUUUUUUUUUUUUUUUCUUUGAGACAGGGUCUCUCUCUGUUACCCAGGCUGGAGUGCAGUGGUGCAAUCACAGCUUACUGCAGCCUUAACCUCCAAGGGCUCAAGUGAUCCUCCCACCUCAGCCUUCCAAGUAGCUGGGACUACAGGCAUGCACCACCACAGCCAGCUAAUUCUUAAAUUUUUAGUAGAGAUGGGGUCUUGCUAUGUUGCCCCGGCUGAUCUCAAACUCCUGAGACAAUGUUUUAUCUAUACUCCCAAGGCUUUCUGCAGAGACCUUAGUGUUGGGAUUAUAGGUGUGAACAACCGUGCCUGGCCCACUUGGAACUUUUCUACUUGAAAUACCACUCACCCUCCCACCCUAGUCUCUAUAAGCCUGGUUCUUUCUUUUCAUUUAGACUUCAGCUUAAAUGUCACUGUUAUCCUUCAAAGAGGCCAACCAACCUGAUCAUCUACACUAAGCCAUUUUCUAUCACUAAACCAGUUCAAUCCUCGGCUUAACUCUUGAUACUAUCUAAUAUUGCCUUGUUUUUUGUCUAUAGUCUUCUGCCUCUUAUUUCCCACUAGAAUGUUAGUUCCGGGACAGUACCUUGUCCUGGUCUUCGAGCAUCUAGAACAUUGCUUAAUACACAGUGUAUGCUCAAGAAAUAUUGGAGGCGAUGGAAGACUUACCUGAUCUUUCAGAUCUUAAUCUUUCUCCUUGAUCUAAUUGGCAAACAAAAAGGAAAACUUUAGGGGUAAUUUAAUCUGGUUCCUUCUCUAUAACAAUUCCCUAAAACAUAAGGCACUUACUGCCUGAUGUGGACAUGCAUGAAGAAACUGCUAGAGAAUCUCUGUUUGCAUUGGUUGCUUGAAAAAAUUCAGGAACAAAAAGUUAAGAUUACAUAGCAAUGAGUUAUUUUCAUGAUUCCUUUUUUGGCAAUAGUUUUACAGUGUGACCUUUCCUUAAAAAUAUUUUAAAAGUUAAAAAAAUCUAACCAAAUACUACUGAAGAGCUUAUAAUGCAAAGCAACAGUCACCUUCCCUUCCAAUCCCACCCCUCCACCUCCUGUUCUGCUACUAAGAGACAUCUGCUUUUAUCUGUUUCUGUUUUUAGUUCUAAAACAUAUCUAAAUAAUGUGUGUAUACCAUUCUUCCUUCUUUUAUCCAGUUCAGGCAUUAUCUGCUGAUUUUGGCUCUGAUGGAUGAGGAGCUAGCUCUCUAGAUCUCUUUUAUGUUGCAGGCUUUCCUCAGUGUCUGGGGUCCUGGGUUGUUGAGAAUGAGGGACUGGGAAAUACAUUUGGGAGCUCUGUGUUUAUGGGUGGUCACUGGAAGGCUUUGGUGAGAGGAAGAUGGGGGCUGGGGCUGAGGGGCUGGCCAUCUUGCUGUGGGCUUCUGAAAUCCAGGAUAUUGGGGCUUUCUUUACUCUGGUGUACCACCAAUAACCCUUGUUGUCCCUGUUCUCCAAGACGCUGAAAUUUCCUUGGAGGAGACUUCUUCCCUUCUUCCCCUCCCCUCUGUCCUUUUCUCUCUUUGCGGCUCCCUUCUCUGGCCUUAGGAUUCAGAGCCUGGUUGCAAACCAUUCUGACAGCUGAGGUCGUGGAUAUGGUUAGAGUGCCCUUACCAUGCUGUAUACAUAUUUUGAAUUAAUCUCCCACUUAUUCUUACUUUCAUCACCCACCUUGUCUAUUGUCUUUGAGUCAGACCCUCUCCAGGGUAGGGCCAGGUGGGGCAGCUACAGCUCCUUCUAGGAAGCUUCUAGGAGAUCAGGAUUUCUAUCCUGCCAGCUACUUUGCUUUGUCAGCGAAUUCUCUUUUAUUGGCGUUAAGAUUUCUAGAAAUGGGUUGAAACUUUUCUUCUGCUGAAGGACUCCUUCCAUUUUCUUCCCUAUUAAGGAUUUAUACCUUUUAAAAAUGCAUUUUGGUAAAGUCUCAAGAGGAAAAGAAAGUGAAUGCAUCUGCUCUUUUGCCAUGGGACAGUCUUGACUUUUCUUUCACUUAAAAAUGUACUGUUAUGCUGUUUAAUUUGGAUCUUUAUCAUUUUUAAAUUAUUUAAUCUGUUUAAUUUUUUUUCAAGACAAGGUCUCACUCUGUUGCCCAGGCUGGAGUGCCGUGGCACAAUCUUGGCUUACAGCAACCUCCACCUCUCGGGCUCAAGCGGUCUUCCCACCUCAGCCUCUUGAGUAGCUGGGAGUGCAGGCGCACGUCACCAUGCCCAGCUAAAUUUUGUAUUUUUUUUUGGUGGAGAUGGGGUUUUGUCAUGUUGCCCAAGCUGCUCUUGAACUCCUGGGCUCAAGAGAUCCAUCUGCCUCAGCCUCCCAAAGUGCUGGGAUUACAGAUGUGAGCCACCAUGCCUGGUCUAUCAUUUUUUAGAAAAGAUAAUUCUACAGAGUUUUGCCCUGGUAAGCUCAUGACAUCCUUUGUUCAGCUGCGAUAAGAUACAUUUUUCUUCAUCUCUUCAUUCUGCAGUCCUGGAGCCCCAGCCUAAGCAGUUAGUCUGAAGGUUUUCCGUCUCCCUUUGCAAAUUCUUGCUUAUUUCCACAUGCUGACCUGCCCACUUGAAGCCAUCAGCAAGUUCUCUGAGAGCCUUUGAUCACAGCAGCAAACUGGGUUUCUUUCAUCAAACCAGAGGCUCCCAAAUGGUGGGGUCUACCUCCCUGUCAAACUAGGGAUCCCCAUGGAUGUAAAUGACUUCCUAAUUACACAAAUGGGACUGCCUCCCCAAAUGGGAUUUCUUCCCUCAUCAGAUUGGAGGCCCCCUAUCUAUACCUCUAUUUCUUUUAGGACCAGGAGGAUUUCUAGACAUAUGUGAUGAGCACAAAUAAUGCUGAGCAGGGGGUUGGCGAUGGGGGUAGUCAGGAGAUACAAGCUCAAGGAAAAUACAGUGAUAUCUGGGCUGGUUGGGCUGCAGUUGGCUGUUCGUCUAAACCUCAAUGAGGUGCUCUCUCUAACCAUAUUUAAGAAUUCCUGACUUAGAUUAGAUUUUAUCUUUCUGGAAUAGCUCUGUUUUCCCUUCAAGGAGGUCCAUAUAGGCGAAUGAACCAGUCAGAGACCCCUCUCAUCAAACAGAAUAAACCUGUCACUCUCUGAGCAACAAGGACUAAGGGUCCAGAAAAAUGGAAGUGCUAGAGGAGGUUGGGCUCAAGAAGGGCCCACAUGUUUGAACCAUUUUCAGUUGCCUCAGAGGAUUACCAAACUCCAAUUUGAACCAAUGGCAGCCUUUACUGGAAGGUGUAAUGGAAAGAAACUCAGCUACUGGGCACAAGACUUUAUGAGUAAUAACAUGGCUACAGGAAAGAAAAAGAUGGAGCCAGGCUAGGUAUCAAGACUAACCAUUUAAAAAUGGGAAAUAACAUACAUAGGCAAUAAUAGCAAACAAGCUAAGAUAGUUAUAUUACAAGUGCAUUACAGAAUAACAUGUUACCACUAACAUUUCUACUCCUAGAACACUUAAAACUAGAAAUCUAUGAAACUUUCUGUAUAGUAUUAUCCCAUGUUUAAUUAAACAUUUACAUAUUCUAGGCCAGGCGUGGUGGCUCAUUCCUGUAAUACCAACACUUUGGGAGGCCGAAGUGGGCGGAUCAUCUGAGGUCAGGAGUUCCAGACUGGCCUGGCCAACAUGGUGAAACCUUGUCUCUACUAAAAAUACAAAAAAAUUAGCUGGGUGUGUUGGCGUGCGCCUGUAAUCUCAGCUACUCAGGAAGUUGAGGCAGGAGAAUCGCUUGAACCCUGGAGGCAGAGGUUGCAGUGAGCUGAGAUUGCACCACUGCACUUCAGCCUGGGUGAUAAGAGUAAGACUGUCUCAAAAAAAAAUUAUAUAUUCUAUAAAUGAAUUUUUUGGAUAAACACUCUCAUAUGGUAAGACAGUCUUCUCUUUCUAUUCUAGAUUUUCUGUUUUCAUCAUUGAGCAACUGAGCAUGUGUUAUUUUUCAAUGAGAAUUUUUUUCCUAGAAAAUAACAUACAUGUAGAGUGUACACCAGAGGUUGUAAACUCAGAUUCUUACAGAAUUCAGAAUGGCAACAAAAAUGAGUAAAGUGGACUGGGUUUAAGAAAAAUCAACAGCCAGAAAUGUAAUCAAACUUUCAUUUUUACUUGACUAGGGCAUAAGUACAUAAUAUAAUAUAAACGUGUGAUAUUGGGGAUUAUAUAUUAAGUUUGAAAUUGAAAAAUGUAACAUUAAAAAAAGAAAUAUGUAAUUAUUAAUUUUUUUCUUUCAUACCUCAUUACUUCUUUGCUUUACAACCAGAAAUGUGACACUUUUUCUUUUACCCCAACAUGUCAAUGUUGAGUCUUGCAUUUCAUGUUGUGAUGUGCUGUAUAGAAUUCAACCUUGAAUCUUUUAACUGAGAGCAAUCGUUUUAUUUAGUUUCAUAAUGGAAAACAGCUGUUCAUGGCUGAGCAUUGAUAGAAUAUUUGUAUGAUGGUUUUUAUAUUUAGGGUAACCACUCCUGAGAUAUUUGUAGAAUUCUGGCAUUCCAAUGUUGCAAAAUUUAGUUUUAGGGAAUGAAUUGUGGUUCAAAAAAUUCCAUUUAUAUUACAAUACUGAGAAAGGUGAGUUCAAAAAAUUGCAUUUGUGGCACAAUAUUGAGAAAGAUCAUUUUCAUAAAACUAGCAACUUUUUUGGAAUCUCAUCCUGUCUUCAGCUCCAGAAUUUUUAGAGAGCAGUUGAAGAGACCUCUUUCAUUUUGGAAAACUGAUUUCAGCAUAGGAAAAUAAGCCAGAUGAUUCUUUGCCAAAUGAGUUUCCCUAAGAUAUAAUUUCACUAAGAAUGAGAAAACUGAAUAGCCAUUUGCAUAUUUGUGAUAAUUCUUAAAGAGAUACCCAAAAGGGUUAAAUGGCUUGUGAUAUUUACUGAAAAGGCAUAUACUUUGAUCCAAUCUUUGCUGGUGAGCUGGGGUAUUUUUGUUGGAUGAUAUGAACAAGUUAAUAACUUUUCAGCUGUUCCUCCCCUCCCACCCAUGAAAGACCCCGACAUUACACACUAACUACCCUUUAUUUAUUAGAACAGACGAGUGUUAUGACUACUGCAUAUCCACUUUAUCAGGCAAAGCACUGAACUCUUUAUGCUUUUAGCCAUGGGAGUAAGUCCCAUUCACUAGGCCCAUGAUAUGUGUUCUAUUUUAACUUUUUAGCACAAGGCAAUUCCUGGUGAAUUAUUUAGUUUCCCUAAUUGUGCAAAAUUGGCCACCUUAGAUUUAAGAUUCAUAACAAGGUCAGUGUUAAUGCUGAUCAUUUCAGGAGCUCUGUUUUGUAGCCAGGCUUACUAAUUUUGACCUGUCUGCUUUAAGUUUUUCAAGGCUUCUCAACACACAAAGCUAAGUAAUUUCCUGAAAUUGUGCCUGUGAUGGACACCAUGACCAAAAGUUCUCCAAUCACAUUGAAGUCUCUUUGGAACCAUAAAUAAAUAUAGCUGACUGGGUGGUAUUAUUUUAACUGGGCUCUCAUAAGCUUCACUAGGAAAUGCCACAAAUGAUUUAACUUUUUCACACAACCUGUCCUGUAAGUUCUCAGCCAUGUCGUCAUCUUGUUGAGCAACCAGCGUUUCUGUUUAGUCUUCCAUUUGCAAAUACUUGUUUUUGUUCAAGGUAUGAAUUUCUCUAUCCUCAGUAGAUUCUCUUUUGUAAACUCACCAUUAAUAAAAGGUUUCAAUGCAUGAGCAAUAUUUUCUCCUUCUCCAUAACUUCAUUUCACAGUUGUGUCAUUUGUUUUAUUUGCUUUGAAAAAUAAAACAUGUUAAAACAUCAGUACUUUCUUUUAGAUCGUUAAGUUUCCCUACCAGCCUCACAGCUUUUUUGUUUGAAUUCUUUUGAUACUGACACAUUUCAUUUGCAUGUCAAACUUGGAAGAAUGAUUUUAACUUCUCCAAAAAUAAAAAGCUAUUUUCCGUUUUUUUUUUUUUUUUUUUUUUUGCAAACAUGCAAACACAUAGCUCUCGUUGAUGCUCUUUUGUGUCUGUCCUUUUGCUUGAGUUAUGGAUAUGUAUGUAUGAAUGUCCAUAUAAAAGUUACUUUCUUCCCAACUCUGUUAUAAGAAAAUCAUAGUCUAGGACGAUGAUGAGUGACUACUGACCCUCGGCCUCAGUGAUAGGAAGAGAAUGGGGAGUAGUGAGGGGUAUGGUGGUAUGGAAAACUACUCAGCUCCAGAGGACUUAUUCCUUGCUGGAAUGUGAUUUCAUUAUAGACCUUCUAAAUUCUUAAAACUUAAAGAAGGUGUAAUAUACAAAUAGAAAAGUGGAUCUAUUUUAAGUAUAUGGCUUGAUAAAUUUUCCAUGAAUAGAUCAUAGAUUGAGGAACAGAACAGCAUCAGGACCCAUAAGGCCCCUCACACUCCUUUCCAAUUGAGACCUUUCAGUUUUUUUAAGAAAAAAGUAUUUGGAUUCAUAUGUGAACUCUCAAUUUCUAACUUUUGUCAAGUAAUUGAAAACAUUAAAAAAAUCCCUUGGGCCAAACAAAACACAUCUCUGGCCAGAGUCAGCUCAGAAGACUACAGCCUGAAACCUCUGGUUUCCAUGCUUUUCUUACUGUCUGGCAGCUCACACCUCUCUUCUCCUCCAUCUAGAGGGGUAGGCAACCAUGUUUCUAUGUCAUGAUACCAGCCAUGGUUGACCGGGGUCUUUCUCUGGGACUCUGGAAAUGGGACACUGGAAUUCUCUUUAUCCUGGUGAUGGUGCCAAAAGUGGCUCCAGGCCUAGAGCAGGCCCUAUUCCACCAUCCAUUGAGGAGCAGAGAAAGCUGAUGCCCACAGCGAGAAGGAAGCAGAAGUGCAGAGUGAGAGAGUGGGAGAAACUGCUUGGUUCCCCAAUGUUUUUCCAGUUUUUGAGUUCUUGGUUCUAGCCCCUCCUGAGGCCAGUAUAGAUAAGGGCUGAGGAGCCAAUUAGGCUGGUAGGCUUCUUCAAGAAUUCCAGAGGAACAGUCAGGUGGGUGGAUCAGAGUAAAUGAUGCUGGUGACAGCCAAGGACUGGCAGCCAAGUGGGCGGGGUCUCCAUGUGAGACACUUCUUCACUCAGAGUCACAUCCUAGGCCAGUGGGCUGGGAUCAGGGGUAGAAGGCCCAGCAGGCAAGUAAAAGAUGUAUAUUCCCUCAGGUGAGCUUGUAACUGAGUUCUAGAUUAAGAAAUGUUGGAGACUGAAUGAUUAUUUCCAAUUCUCCACUCCCUCCCUGCAAUAGAAUUAUAUACCCAUGCCCUUUGCCAUAUGGCUUUACAUGCACCCUACUAGAGGAGGUAGAGCCUAUAUUCCCAUGCUGUCAGCUGUGGGCUUGGCCAGUUACCUUGCUUUGGCUAAUGGAAAUAUGGAUGGACGUGACAACGAGACAGUUCUGAAUUGAGGCCUUAAGAGUCAUGGGAGGCUUCCACUAGCCCCUUUGUGUGCUGCUUCCAUAUGUAAUGAGAAGAGCCUAUCCCAGGUAGCUGCUGGUUCCAGGAGAGAGAUAUGGAACUGAUCUGUACCCAACUCACCACCUGAAUCACAGCCCUUCUACCCAACCCACAGAUUGUGAGUGAGGAAAAUAAAUGUUUGUUUUUGUAAGCCACUAAGAUUAUGGGAUGGUUUAUUACAUAGUAUUAUCACAGCAAUGUCUGACUUAUACAGAGAAGAACUGGGUCCUAGGCAAAAUUAGGGACAGAAGAGCCUGAUUGUAUCACAAUGGGCCCAGGAGAGGGGAGAGGAGAGCUCAGGCUCAGAGGCAACGUGGUGCAGGAAUGUGGGUUCUUAGAGGUCAUCCCUGAGGGCACCAGAUCCAUGUAUGAUUGGAAAAGGGAAAUGAGAGUGGUCUGGGGGAAAUACCUGUCACCUCAUUGAUCAUCUGGCUUGAAGGAAAAUCAGGAGGAACACAGGAGCCAAGUAGUUGUAACUGAGCUGGUGACAUUAUUCCAAGCCGUUGUAUCUGCUCAAACUUUACAUACUCUCCAGCUUGGUUAGCAUUGACUCAGGAGCUGUGAGCAUCGGUGGAUCUAGUUGUGAGGAUCCUGGGAGGGUAGCAGCAGGAAAAAUAAGGUAAAAGAGGGCACCAGCACCACAGCUCUCAAAUGCUCACAAGUGUGAGUGCCUGUGUGUGGUUAUCUGACAGCUCUUUUAUAAAUCUGAUGGUUGCUUUCUACCCACCUGCUUGCUGUUUUUGUUGACAUCUCAACCUGGAGUGGGUUUGAGGCUGGGAGGCUGAAACAUACUCUGACCACAUUCACCCACUUUCUGAGAACUUGCAGGCUCAGAUGAAGCCUGUGAAACCACAGACCUAUAUAGGACAACUAGAUGAACACGGCACAGUGGGGUGGCCAGUGAUAUAUGUUGCCACAGCAGAGGAUCCUGGGCAGUCGUAGCACAGACAGGGUGUUUCUGAUUUUCCUUCUUGAAAUUCCUCUUCCCAGGGGCUUCCAAGCUCAGGAAGCUCUUGUCAUCUCCUAAUCGAGGCAGAUGAAGAUGGGAGUUCUGUAGGGAGGCGUUUCCACUUAAUCAAGGCCAGUCAUACCCAAGCUCUAGGAUUAGACAGAUCUGCAGAUCUGCGCAGUUACUUGGGCAGCCUGUUUUCUGUCUCUGCUACCUUGUUAUCUGGCUCUUCUCUGAAUUCCUGUAGCUUUUCCAGGACUUAAACAAUGAGAUUAACAGCUAUCAUUUUUUGAAUGCCUACCAUAUGCUAGGCUCUCUAGUGGAUCUUUUACAAGUAUUAUUGAUAAUAACAGCAAAGAUAACUAAUAUUUACUAAGCAUUUGCUAGGUGCCAGGCACUAUGCCAAGCCCUAUACUUGUAUUAACUCACCGAGAAUCCUCACAACGAGGCAACAUGGGUGUCAUUAUUUUUAUACACAAAUAAUAAACGGUGGAGCUCACUCCACCAUUUGGAUCUAGAUCGGUCUGACUCCAGAGCUUUUGUUUUUUCACUGGUGAUGCUCUCUUGCUUGAUCUUGCUCUCUAGCCAUGCCAGGACACUGUGCAGUUGGGCACGAUAGGCUGGGGCAGAUGCAGAGGGCUGGGAUAUGGAGUUAGAUCAGGAGGAUGAAUGCAGGAUGGUAGAAGUCCAGUGAGUCGUUCAUGAAGGAGACAGGGAUAAGGUUCAACAAGAAGUAUGGUGAGGCCCUAAAAGGCAAGAGGAGCAGAGGUACAGACAACCCAGAAGCCAUCAGAUGUCCUGGCAGGCAGUCCAGGGGCAGGACAGCAGAUCCUGGAGGAGACAGAGCUGGCCACAGCACAACUCAUAGUUCUGGCUCUGCCCUUUACUAACUUUUGGGCAAAUGACUUACCUGCCCUGAAUUUCAGUUUCUUCAUUUGUAAAAUGGGCAUAAAGAAACCUCCUUCAUAGGGUUGAAAUAGCUGAAUGAGAUAGCAAACAUAAAGCACCAGUGACAGUGCCUAGUCCUGAGGAUGUGCUCCACACAUAGACUGCUACGUUUCUAAGACAGGCUCAGGCACAGAGACAGGGAGAACCCAGGCUAUCAUAACUGAGAGUCAAAUAAAGUGCCCCAGGAGCAGCAUUCUAACUAACCUGCUGACUGGGAUUAGUAUUGGUUUUAGAGACUGGAAUGGGGUUAAGUGACCUCAUUUCCAUAUAGAGGGUGGCUGAACUGAGUGGACAAGCAGGUACUGGUUUUUUCAUAGAUGGGUGUUGAAAUCCCAGCCCCACACAGCUGACAGGCUCUUGUUCAGGACUUUGGACUUCCAGUCUGAUGUCCUUUCGAUGAUACUGUGCUGGUGGUAAAUAAACACUUGACAUAAAAUAUGUUCAGGCAUGUCAAUGGCACAUGCAUUGUAAUGGUUUUGAAACAUGUCUGCAAAUUCCUUGAUGUUCCUCCCACUGAGAGGUGGCAUUGAAUUCCUCUCCCCUUGAACAUGGACCAGCCUCAGUGACUUGCUUCAAAGGAAGAGAAUGUGGCGAAAGUGAUGCUGUGUGUCUGCUACGGCUGUUUAGAGAAGCUUCUGCCUGGCUCUGUCUCCCGGGAUGCUUGCCUUUGAAACCAGUUGUUAUGUUAGGAGAAAGCUCAGGCUACAUAGAGAGUCCACAUGAAAUUUUGGACCAGCAGCCCCACCUAAGGUCCCAGCUAACAGCCAGCAUCAAUUGUCAGAUCAUCCUUGAAGUUGUCCCAGCUGAUACCAAGUGGAGCAGGGAUGAGCUGUUCUCAACAAGCCCUGCCUAAAUUGCUGAUUCAUGAGCAAAAUAAAAGUUGUUGUUUUCAGCCAAUAAGUUGUGGAUGGUUUAUUUUGUAGCAAUAAGUAAAUGGAUCAUGAACUUGCAUAGUAGAGCACAGAGGAGAAGCAGCAGGAUCCAGUUCUAAGAGCUUGUGUUCCAGAGUCACGCAGUUGAUUAUGCAUUUUCAGCUCUGCUAUAUGCUUGCUGGGAAAGUUAUAUACCCUCUCGAGACUGUUUUGUCCUCUGUAAAAUGGUAAGAUGGUAAGAUUGAUUGUAUGGGUGUUGUAUUAGUUUGCUAAGGCUGCCAUAACAAGAUACUAUGGACUGGAUGGCUUAAACAACAGAAAUUAAUUUUCUCAUAGUUCUGGAGGCCGGAAGUCCAGUAUCAAGGUACCGGUAGGUUUGGUUUCUUCCGAGGCCCCUCUCCUUGGCUUGCGGAUGGCUGCCUUCUCGCUAUGUCCUUGCCUCCCAGCAUGUGCCUAACAAUGUUCACAUUUCCUCUUCUGUAAGGUCACCAAUCCUAUUGGAUUAGGGCCCACCCUAAUUAUGAUUCACUUUAACUUAAUUACCUGUUUUAAGGAUGUGUCUCCAAACACAGUCAUUCAGAGGUACUGGGGGUUAGGACUUCAACGUACGAGUCUUGUUGAGUGGUGGGGAGUGGGUAGAUACAAUUCAGCCCAUGACAAUCGUUACCAGGAUUAAAUGAGGUAAAACAAACAUAAAGAACAGGUUACUCGUGGACACAUUGGAAGUGUUUAAUAAAUAAUGGCCAUUAUUAUUACAUAUGUGAUGUCAACCUGAUUAAUUAUACCUGAUACAUGCAAAAAAGGGGAACACCACUAUGUAUGCCCCAGGGGAAGCUGUGUAUUCCUCUCACUUGGAUGAUAAGAGAAGACAAGCUCUCUACUAAGCACACUAUGUCCCUCCACCUCCUAACCUGGGCCCCUGGCUUAGUGAUGGUGGCAAGAGAGGGGUUGAGGAGUCCCCUCUGGAGGAAGGAAGCAGCAUUAUUUCUUGACCCUCAGAGACAGCUGCUUCCUUUGGGGACCCUUGGAAGGGGCUCCUUGUUUAAGCCUGGAAGAUCCCAGGGUGAUAUCAGGUAAGGAAAGACCUGGGACAGUGUACAAACCCGAAGUCACUCUGUCUGCAAUUGCCUGGGUGCUCCAGAACUGACCCUUGGAGUCAUCCCCACUGGAGGCAAUUUGGAGAAGGUAUUUUCGAGAGAAAGUCCCCACGCAGAAAACCUUUCUGCCAAGUCCUUUGUUUUCCUAAUGUUGCCGCAGUGUCUGGAGCUGAAUUUUAAAAAUGGCAUUUUCCUGGAAAGGAUUUUUUGGUCUUUUUUGGAAAUGUCUCAUGUAAAACAAGAUCACCAGUGGGCCAUUGAGUCUGGUCUCCCCGGGAUGAGCUUGGGAAAUGGCAAGUGGGGGAGGGCGAGUCUGGGUGGGAAAAAGAACAAAAAACAGAGUUGGAGGGAAAGCGGGACGUGACAAAGGGGUCAGCAUUCAUGUGUUAGGAAUAGGCUCAGAGCUCAGGAUUCAUUCCAGUGGGUAAGGCAUCGUGCCGGGGAGGGAGGAAGGGGAAGGGGCCCUUGACAGCAGGGCUGUGGGAAUGUCCUCUGAAAGCCUCCAUUCACCACAGAAAUGGACCUAUCCCUGGGCCUGCCACCUCCUUCACUCCCUUGUGUGACAUGGGUAAGAAGGCAAGAAUGAUACAACAGGGGCCGUGUCUCUUCCAUCAGACUGGAUUUCCUUCCUGAAGGGAGGAACUAUAGGUGGCAUUCAUUCUACGGCUCUAAGAGGGUUGCCUUGUAUCUUCCCAUCAGACUGGAGGGUCCCCAAGUACAGGGACCCUGUCCCUCCUUGACCUAAGGAAUCAGUAGAGCUGAGAACCUCCUUCCCUUCCUUCUCUCUGUCUCCGUGAACUCACUGUGUAGGAGGAGCUUGGUUUGUGACCUGCCUGACCCAGUGACCUACUCAAAGUGGCAUCUCCACCCUUGGAAGCACAGGUAAGACAUGCUGACUGAAAGUCAUUGCCAUGAGCAGCUCGUCGCCACCUCUCUCCUGGCCCAGGGCCAGGGCCAUUUCUGUGGCCAAGUGGAAUUUCUGUGGCAGGAAGACUCUUGGAAGCUCUUUGCAGAGUUGGCUUUCAUCCUCCAGGCUUCUCUGUUGCUCUUCUGUCCAUUCCUCAGCCUGCCUGUGCCUCUCAGGCCUGGCCUCAUGUCUCCCGGGUUUGUGGUGACCCUGGGCCUCAGACUGGAAUGAGGACAAAUAGCAGAGGAAUGGGUAGAUAAGAAUCACUGAAUCUCUGAAUUAGAAGCCACUCUAGAGGUGGUUUUCUCCAUUUUCUUGUCUGGAAAGUAAAUUCAUACAGUGGACACUUAAGAACACCUGUUCUGUGCCAGUCUCUGCUUCAGACACCAGGUACAUAGUGGUGGACAAAGCAGUCAUGGUUCCUGCCCUCAUGGGGCUAAGUGUCUGAUAUCUGAAUAUUUGGACAAUAGUCUCAUUAAGUAGCCAUACAGAUUGUACUUAGAAAACCAUGUUUUUGGAGUUCUCCCUCCCUCCCAAGGCAGCCAAUUUCAAUUUGGACAGCUCUGAAAGUUAUAGAAGUCCCUCCAUAGAUGUAGUCAAAGUCCUUCCACUUCAUAACUUCCACUCACUUGUCUCAGCCUACUUUCACAUCUACCCAGGACAAUAAGCCUGUUCCCUUCCGCCUGGAAAUCCCUCACCAUGGUGGCAAAUCUGUUAGUUUUUCUUUUGUUUUAUUUUUGGCUAUGUUAUUAGGUAUAUUCAUGUUUAGGGUUGUUUUAUUUUUCUGGAGAAUUCUUUUUAUCAUUUUGUAAUUGUUUUCUUUAUUUUUUCUGACUUUAAUAUUGUUUCACUGCUUGGCUUCAAAGUUGUGGGUUCCUACCACCCUCCCAUUUCAGGUUGAAUAAUUGGCUAGAAAGGCUCACAGAACUUUGGGAGAUACUUUACUUACUAUCAUUUUUUUUGGAUAAUGAUCACUUGGUAUAUUUCUUCUGAUUUCAUUUCAAUAAUUCUGUGUUAUUAUAUUUUAAGUGUGUUUACUAGAAAAAACAAAAGGCCGGAUUUCUUAUUUGAUCUUAGUGUUUCUUUUAACAAGUAAUUUUAAUUCUUUACAUUUACUACAUUUAUUAUUAGAACACAGUUAUGACUGGUGUAUAUUGAUAUCUUUAUGUUUUUGUUUUAAUCUCUUAGCUUCUUUUGUUUCCUUUUUUCUUUCUGUUAGUAUAUUGACAAUUUUCUGUUUUUUUCUCCUACUGUUUUAACAGUUACAUACAUUUGAAUUCUCUCCUUUGAGAGGUUAUCCUUAAAUUUUUUAACAUUCUUUGAAUGCUACCAAUUUUAAACUGUUUUUACUUACAACACUUCUGACACCAAAUGGGUGGUUUUUUUCCCCAUGCUCACAACUGUUUCCAACUCUCUGGGCACCAGCUGGGUGUCCUACAAUUCAGUUCAAUUCUGACACUUACUGACGGAAGUUAAUGUCAGACUCCACAGGUUUACAGGCUCAGUCUCACAAGCCUCCCUUCACUUCAGAUGCCUAUUACAAAUUUGGUGCCCAAGAUACUACCACUUCUGUCUGACAUGGCUACAAAGUUGUGAGUUCCCACCACCCUCCCAUUUCAGGUUCAGUAAUUGUCUGGAAGGGCUUACAGAACUCUGGAAGAUACUUUGCUGACUCUUAGUUUUCUUUUGUGUAGAGGAGCAGAUGAAUGGCCAGAUGAAGAGGCACAUAGGACAAUGUUCAGCAGGGUCCCAAGCACAAGACUUCUGUCCAUGUGAAGUCGGGGUCUGCCACCUUCCCAACACAUGGAUGUGUUUGCCAACUCUGAAACUCGCUGAACCCCUCCGUGUAGGAGUUUUUAAUGGGAGUUUAAUGAUGUAGGCAGGAUUAAUGAAAUUAUUGGCCAUUGGUGGUUGAACUCAACCUUCAGCCCCUCUCCCCUCCCUGGAGGCUGUGGGUGGAGUGGGGCUGAAAGUUUCAAACCUCUAAUCAUGCCUUGGUCUUUCAGGUGACCAAGACUCCUGAAUCUAUCCACAUGCCCUCAACUACCAGUGCUCUUAUUAACAUACAAAAGAUACUCACCACUCCAUAGAUGCUAAGGAUUUUAGGGGAUGUGUGUCAGGAGGAACAAAGAUCAAAUACUUAUUUUUACUAUAUCACACUGUGCAAUUUAGGUUUACACUUGGCUGUACAUCAUAGAAAACAGUGGAUUAAACAUUUAGGGGUUUAUUUCGCAACGAGAAGACUGGAGUAAAAAGUUCAGAGCUAGUACACAUCUUUAAGGAUAUCAUUAAGCACCCAGGGUUUUAAAAUUUAAUUAUCCUUUUCUCUUACUCUUAGUGUGUGACUUCGUCCUGUCUUCAUGGUCUCAGGGUGUCUGUUGCUCCUCCAAGCAUUUUGUCCUUAUUUUAGGUAGGAAGAAGAGAAAAGGGUAAUUGGUAAAGGGCAAAGCAUUCUUUCUGGAAGUUGACCAGUAGGCUUCUGUUUUUAUUUCAUUGGCCAGAACUGCAAUACAUUGCUACCUCAGCCUCAAGGGAAUCUGGGAAGGUGUGUAUUUUUAGUUGAGCACUGUGCUGCCCUGUGAAAAAUCAAGAUUCUAUUAAAGAGAGACUAUAUACUGUGUUAGCUGCUAUAAGUAUAUAUAAUUCAUGCAUAUUACUGUAACAAUUUUACAGUUAAUUAGACUCUGUAUAUCCUUAGGAUGCUCUUAUUCUAAUUACUCCAUCCUAAGUUUUAUGUUAUUAGUGUUUGGCACUUUAGGUCCACUUUGUCUUGUUUGUUUGUUUUGAUUUAUGAGAUAGGGUCUUGUUCUGUUGCCCAGGCUGGUUUGCAGUGGCAUGAUCAUAGUUCAUUGCAGCCUCGAAUUCCUGGGCUCAAGUGAUCCUCCUGCCUCAGCCUCCUGAGUAGCUGGGACUACAGGCACACACCACCACACCUGGCUAAUUUUGAUAUUUUAUUUUUAUUUUUUUAUUUUUGUAGUGACAGGGUCUUUUUAUAUUGCCAGGGCUGUUCUCCAACUUUUGGCCUCAAGCGAUCCUCCUCCUUUGGCCUCCCCAAGUGUUGGGAUUACAGGCAUGAGCCACUCCCCGCUUUGUCUUUAAAUGCCACAAAAAUCAGACGAUAGUAUUGUUAUUGCUAUUUUGCAGUCAAUUCUUGUUUAGAUUUACCCACAUGUUUAUCCAUUUCUUCACUUACCACUGAUUCUUCCACCCUACUCCUUCCUCUCAGCUCAAUUUUCUUCUAGAAGUGAUAAAUUCUCUUGUCUUUUUCUGAAGAUGUGAUUUUUUAAAAAUCCCCACUCUUGAAUGAUAGUUAACCUUGGCUGGGCAUUCUACAAUGAUAGUUGUUGUUUUCUUCAGCACAGAAAAAUUAUUCCAUUGGUCUCUGUUUGCUGAUGCUAAGUCUGCUAUUUUUUUCUUAUGAAUGAUAUCUCUCUUUAAUUCCUGAUGCUUUUUUUUUUUUUUUCUUUUUUUGAGACUGAGUCUUGCUCUGUCACCCAGGCUGGAGUGGAGUGCAGUGGCGUGGUCUUGGCUCAUUGCAAGCUUCACCUCCUGGGUUCACGCCAUUCUCUUGCCUCAGCCUCCUGGGUAGCUAGGACUACAGGCGCCGCCACCAUGGCUGGCUAAAUUUUUGUAUUUUUAGUAGAGAUGGGGUUUCACCGUGUUAGCCAGGAUGGUGUUAAUCUCCUGACCUCGUGAUCCGCCCACCUCAGCCUCCCUAAGUGCUGCGAUUACAGGCGUGAGCUACCACACCCGGCCUCCUGAUGCUUUUAUAAUUUUUCUGUCAGUCAUGUUCUGAAGUUUCACUAUAAUGAGCCUCGGUGUAAUUUUCUACUCAUUUAUCUUGCUCAGAAUUCCACGAGCUUCUUCAGUUGAAGCUCUACACUUUUCAUUAAUGUAAGGAUUCUCAGCCAUUACCUCUGAAUAUUUCUUCCCCUUCCUUCUCUCCAAUUUCUCCCUCUAGCAUUCAUAUUAGAUGUAGGUUGGACAUUCACAUUCUAUCCUUUACGUCCUGUAUUUUCUCUGUAUUUUUUUUCUCUUUUAAUUGUUUAAUGUUACAUUCUGGAAAAUUUUCCAAGAUCCGUUUUUGGUUUACUGAGCCUCUCCUUCAGUUUUGUCUAAUCUGCUAUUUAAUCGAUGCUUUGACUGUAUCUUUUAUUUACAGAAGCUCUAGAAGUUACUUUUUCAAGUUUAUCUUUUUUUAGAAACAAUAUUCUAUUUGUACUUUAUGGUUUCUGUUCUUUAUUUCAGAUUAUUUUAUUUUAAAUUCUUCAGGUGAAAAUCCUCUUAUUCAUCUUCUAGUCUUUUUUAUGGUGGUUCCUUUCCUCAGGUGGGUUGUAAUUUUUGGUUGUGAAUUCAUCUUUAGCUGCUUUUCCCCUUGGGAUAGAGAGGAUCUUCUGUAGAGAAGUUUUCUAUUCUUCUAGAAUUUCUCUAUGUGCCCCAGGGAGACUGUUGAGGACAAAUUCUUAUAUUAAGAAUAUAAGAAGAAUUUUUUGAUUUGGGAUUCAAACACUAGGUUGUGAGGGCUAAUUUUAUGCAUCAACUUGGCUAGGCCAUGGUACCCAGUUUUUGGUCAAACACCUAGCUAGGUGUUGCUGUGAAGACAAUUUUUUAAAGGUGUGAUUAACAUUCAAAUCAGUUAGCAUUGAGUAGAGCAGAUUACCACCCAUAAUGUGGAUGAGCCUCAUCCAGUCACUUGAAGGCCUGAAAAGGAAAAGAAGGAAUUCUGU